Molecule: long non-coding RNA, 55743 nt
Filed under: Ananas comosus (pineapple)
Lineage: Eukaryota; Viridiplantae; Streptophyta; Magnoliopsida; Poales; Bromeliaceae
Description: long non-coding RNA (ACOM_LNC003745)
Source: RNAcentral
UGAAUAUUCUCUAAAAAGUGAUGAUAAAAAUUUUGUAAUCAUGAUCGAGAGUAUAGAUCUUGUUCUAAAUAGUUUAAAGAAUUUUCUAACCAAAAUUCAAUUGAUUUGGAUAGCUUUACACCGUUAAACGAGAAAACCUCUUAUAUCAACCAUUAAAAUUAUAAAUUUUGAAACCCUUUGAUCAUUAGGUAAAUGAUGUCGAAAAGAUUUGAAAUUUGAUUUCUAGAUAUUUCAAGUGAUAUAGAUCAUAUUCAACGGUGCAGAUCGUCGAUUUGAAAGCUCCGUCAUCGAAAACAAAUAGAUGGCAAUGGAGCCCGUUUGCUACUGAUGGCAUUCCAGCUCAACUCUUUCUCUCUCUCUCUCUCUCUCUCUCUCUCUCUCUAUAUAUAUAUAUAUAUAUAUAUAUUUUAAAUAUUAAUUAUUUUGUUCUGCUUUGUUUUGCAUAAUUGUAGCCAGAAUGAUAAAGUGAUAACUACUUGAAUUAUCGCAUAAGCAUAUAAAAAUGACGUAACUAAUAAUUUAUCUUUACAAGAUAAUCUGAUUGCUACCUCGCUCAGUGAUCUAAUCAUAUUUUGAAGAAGACGCAACAGCUGAAUAGUAGUAAUAUAAUAUUGACAAAAAUUAGUAGUUGAAAUGACUUGCAGUAAUUACCAUAGCAUUUGUUAAUUAAUAGAUGAGUUAAUCGUCAUAUUAUUACUUCAUAAAAAAACUAAUCUAAAUUUGAACUUAGGCCUAAUUUAAAUAAAAGUUAAACUUCAAUGUCUUAAUUAAUACUAAAAAGUUUUACAAAUAUGGUUUAAAGAUAAUUGUUAUAAUUAUAAAAGUUAUUUAGAUUUAGAUUUGGAAAAAUCUAAGGGUGUCGGUACCUUGAUUUGUUCAGAAGUUAUCUCGAUCUGUCUGAAAUAAUAUGGGUAAUAGCUAUAUAUAAGAAUCUAUAAAUAAGAAAGAGGAGCCUCUAACUGCCAACAACCUCCUUAAGAGAGGUUGGUCUGGAAAUACAGUAUGUGUGCUGUGCGGCACUGAAGAGAAAACGGUCAACCAUUUAUUCGUUCGUUGCAUUUUCCUACGUUUUCUAAUGGCAAUGACCGUCGAAAACGCCCAGCGGGGAGAUAGGGGAGACGAUGUGACCACGAUCUGGGAUCGGUUGAUGGCGACAGAACGACCAUGUACCACAAUAUCCGGACUGAUAGCCUGCUGGUGGGUUAUUUGGGAGGCUAGGAAUGGUACGAUAUUUCGGAACACUCGGCCAGACCCUCUUCAAGCUGUCCGUAAAAUUAAACAGCUAACGAAGCUUUGGGACCACGUUCUGACUGGUCGCCUGUAGUAUUUAUUUUGCAGUAGCUUUUUUUUUUUUUUCGCCAUUCCUGAGGCCGUCGUUGCCUCACCCAUGUAGCCUAGUUCAUCCCAUCAAUGAAUGAAGCGAGUAGCGUGCUACCCAUUUUUCAAAAAAAAAAAAGAAAGAGGAGUUUUCUCCGAUAAUUAUAAUAUACAGAAUCUCUCAAAUAUUCCCAAUAUAGUUGAACCACCAUUGUUACUUGGUUUUGGAGCAUGGAUUCUGCCAGAGGACUCUCGUAGCCCUCUGCAUAGACGUGACGUGCAUGCAGGCGAUCCAGUCAGACAGUCCAAGGCAUUGAGAAGAACCAAAAUGAUUCGAGAAGGCCCAUAGAUCGAGCAAGCUAGCAAUAUGGUAUACUGAACUUUAGUGUAAUAGAUUGAAUUUUGACCAAAUAAAUAAAAAUAUAUAUCAAAAUAGCAUAAUAUAUAUGCUAUUUGAAAGAUUUAAAGAAGUUAAAAAUAUGUUGGAAGUGAUUUAAGGGCGAAACGGAUCAAAAACAAGAAUUUCGGAACCAAAACUGCAAAGUGCUCCAAGAUUUUCAUUUUUCGAAAAUUGUUUGUCAAUUUUCGGAAAAUGGUCGGCUGGAAUGUGUUCCAGCUUUCUAUUUUUGAGGAAACUAUUUGAAUUUUCAAAAACAAGUUACGUCCCAAAAACUAGUUUUAGUUUUUAGAAAUUGGGCAGUGAAAUAAUAUUGGAAAAAUCUCUUAUUUUUGAGAAAACUGUCAGGGAAUUCUCAAAAUAGGCCAUUUUCAAAAAACCAGAUGUUGAUUUAUGCAAAUGAAUAUAUAUAGUUCGGCCUGAAGUUGAAGAUGAUACAUAUAUUCUUAUUAUAGUACACCUCCAAUAAGGACUCUUAUCGGCCCAUAACACUCUCACUCUUCCCCCCAAGAAAACCUUAAAUCCUCUCCCUUUCUUGUUCUAAAAGACCCUAACAUUAGCAUUCCUCCUGUUCCUUCUCAUAAGAAGAUCUCUUCGGCUUAUAGAAUUGGGAGCAAAUGGUGCUCAAAGAGAAGACACUCCAAGACCCUAACCCUAACUCCUAGGCAAUUUCUAUCAUCUAGGGCAAGGAGGUGAGUUUUGUAUACGGAAGGAAUUUUUUAGGGUUUUGUUAAAUAGAUGGUUUUAAUAGUUCUAACUUAGGUUGGUUCCACGCUUCGAGCCAUAGCAGAAACUCAUACUAAGGAUGCGACCAAAUUCACCACAGACACUAGGGUCACAACCGCUUCUUGUAUUGCAUCGAUAUAGAGCAGCUGUCAAAAGAGUACAUGAUAUCACAAGAUAAUCUAUAAAUUUCUCCAGUUUUAGCAUGAAAUGAUAAGUUAAAAAUAUUAGUAGUAUAAAUCAAACCUUUUGUUAUUCCUUUACAAAAACUUGUCGAUCCCAACUGGCAUAAGGUAAAAGCGUGUUCAAUCAAAUGUCAUCCAAAGGGGUCUCGGUAUAUUGUCGUGGAGCCAUAGGAUAUGAGGCAAUGGAACGAGCCAUUGUUACUGCUCUUGUGCACUCUAACACCCAUGGCUCAGUUGGCCACAUUGGUAACACCGAGCACUAGGGUGGCCCAUGGGACCCGCCAUGGUGUGCACAUGCGCCCGCCGCUGACCCUGUGAAUAUGAGCCAUGCGCUCCAUGCUGUGGUCGAGGAUGCUUCUGCCGUCUAUCAAAUUGGGCGGCCAACUUCACGUACGCCCCUACAAAUGGCCGCUUCUUGUCCCUGCCCCUAUCCGAGGCCUCCUGCCUCAUUUGUACCACCACCUCCCUUUAGGGGUGGAACUGGGCCGGGUUUGGGUCGGGUAAUACUAUGCCCAAGCCCAGUCCAAAUAAAAAUCAUUUGUACCACCACCUCCCUUUAGGGGUGGAACUGGGCCGGGUUUGGGUCGGGUAAUACUAUGCCCAAGCCCAGUCCAAAUAAAAAUGUUGGGCUUCGGGUCGGGCAUUUACCCAAUUUUUUUUGAAAAUAAAGGCCCAGCCCAAGCCCAAGCCCAAGCCCAAUGCCCAAUACCCAUCGGGCUUUGUGGAGGCCCAUUUUAUGCAUUUAUCAUAGAAUACAUAAAUACUUUUAUUUGUAUAAAAUUAAAAUAAAAUACCUAGUUUUAGUUUGAUCACAUCAAAGAAAUUAAUAUCUAACAACAAAUAUAUUCUAAUAUAGAACUAAUAUUUUGUUAAUAUAUAAUAUAUCCUCAUAUAUAUAAGUACAUAUCAUUAAUACCAAUAUAUACUAUAUAUGAUAUACUAUAUUAUUUAUUUCUUUUAAUAGAUAAAUAAUAUAUAUAUAUAUAAUUAAAUAUUUUAUUUUGAUAAUUAAUAUAUCGGGCUUUUGGGUCGGGCUCGGGCCGGGCUUGGACAUGCCCAAAGAGGCCCAAAAUUUUUUGGGGCCAAAAUUUUUAAGCCCGGCCCGAACCCAAAGUUAUAUUUUUAAUACCUAAAGCCCGGCCCAAACAUGACCCAUCGGGCCGGGCCUUGUUUAGGCCCGGGCCCAGUUCCACCCCUACCUCCCUUCGCUCAACCAAAAAGGCAUGAUCUUGCACCUCCUGGAAAGUCUUAUGGUUGCAAGAAUAGACCAAUUGGUAAAUCUCUGUCUUAAGCCCGCUUAUAAACUUCUAGGCCUUUUGAGCAUCACCCUGAAUUAUGUGAGUGUCGCAGUUCAAAAAGCACUUGAACCUUUCUCAUACUCCCAUAUAGUCUCCUUCUGUCACAACUUCUCAAAUUCAUCCUCUAAGUGGCGCUUCACACUAUCCGAGAAGAAGACUGUAACGUAUCGAAACCCAAAAACGAUAAUCGAACUUUAAUCAAAUUGGUUAAAGUAUCGAGAGAAAUGGAUUGGUGAGUUCCAUUUUGGCAUUCCAACAAGGUUGGAAGGGCAAAAAUGAGUUUAAGAAGUGUUGGAAUGGUAUUGGCAUCGAACGGCGCGAAGUAGAGUCGAAAUGAUGCAAAAAUAGCAUUCUGGAGCAUUGUGUACCGGUAUGCCAUGAUGGCUGUACUGGUACAGCAAGCGACCCGAGCACAGGUUGCUCUCGGGUUUGAGUUUGCGCGAAGGUGUACCGGUACGGGACCCGUGUACCGGUACACAAGCUGCAAAACCGAGAGACCUUGCUCUCGAGUUUGGACUUCUGCGCAGGCCUGUACCGGUACACAAACCCGUGUACCGGUACACAGGGGCUCUGGCAGCAGGGGUGAAGUCUGCUACAGAAUUAAGUUGAGGGGCCUAUUUGCAAAUGUCACAACAUGAUAUUUGGCCCAUCCCUCUCCCAUUUUCACAGCAAAACCCCUCUCCUCUCCUCUCCCUCUCAUUUCCUCUCUUUCUCUCUCUAAAAGCUUGGGCUAGGGUUUGGGAAAGAAGAAGAAGAAGCAAGGAGGAGAAGAAGAAGAGCUUGGAGAGGAUGUUGUGGCUCUCCAACAAAGUGGACUUGGGUGAGCUCGUGGCAAGGGUGAGUCCUUUUGCUCAUAGAACUCUAGGGUUUGGUUUUAGACCAUGGACUUUGGGAUUUUGAUCCUCUAAUUAUCCUAGAAACCCUCUAAAGGCAUGGAACAUAUGGAAACUUGAGUUCUUCAUGGUGCUCCCAUGGUGGAUCACUAGGGCACCAAGUGGAUGCCCUAGGGAUGAGUAGAAAUGUCACGCCCCGGGGUCCCUUUUAGUUUAAAACAUAGCGGAAAAGCGUCUGAAAUUUUUUUUUUUUUUUUUUUUUUUUCGAAAAGCAUGACCCCAAAGUAUGCCAGAUCCGCCACAAACAUAGGGAAUCCACUAUUCACACGUACAGAGUCUCCCCUGUAUUUGCACGGCGUCGCACAAGUACAAGAAGUCACCCAGGCACAACCACAAUAAAUGAACAUACAAAUGACCAACAGAUAUAUAUUCAUACACCAUUCACCGCAGAUUCAUAUUUAUACAUUCAAUAUUUAAACAUAAAUCCACAUCUAUAAGUUAAAAUGUUUCCAACCACCGAAACAGAUUUUGAAAUACUAAGAUGCAAAAUUCACAGAAAAUCUUUUGAAAACUGUUUCCUACACGGAAACCUUUAUUCUUUAAAAACGCUACCACGAGGGGUAGAAAACUUUUUAUUUUACAAAAUCCAGAAAUCCAUUUAUUACAUUCACGAAAAUCCAAAUUUUCAAAUGUAAUGAAAAUACUGAACCAUAUAACUAUCUAAGCUAUAACAACUGAAAUAAUAAGGGUAAUAACUAUACCGANUUAUAUUGUUCAGGCAUAUUAGCUGCAUUUGUUAGUUGGCUACUUACUUUCCUUUAUUCUAUUAUGCCUGAUUAGACCUAGUGGGAUAGUCGGCGUGGUUGGUUGCCGAACCCACUGGAACUUUGUUGUAGUUCUCACCCCACUAUUUCCACAGAGCCGGGACCGAGCGAGCCGGCAGCUGAUCGCGGUAAGGGCAUCGCGCCCUAGGUAGAGACCGCCCGAGAUGAAUUUCAUUUUGUAGUUGCACACCCUUUACUAUCAUCUUUUGUAUUUGAUGAUUUUAGUAUUACGAACUUGCUUUAAUGAAUGAUGUAAAGGAUAUUUACCUUAAAUGUCAAAAGCUAUAUUUUGGGACAAAUGAGAUGUAAAAAGAAAUGAUGUAAAAAUGUGACAGAACUUGAUUAUAGUUGUAUACAUGUAUGUGAUUUAAAUUUAGUCAUAUUACUUGUAUAUUGAAUUGCUAAUUCUUUCACCUUGGCUAUUGCUUGCCUUCGUGCAAGCCAUUGUGUAUGCUUCCGCUUAUGCAAAUUUUCACUCUAUUGAUACUUGUGUUGAGCCUUGGGCGGACAGGGAAAGCUCUGUCCGUUCGGCGUCUGUUUGACGCUCUCGAACCGGCCAAAAGGGAUCGGGCUCGGGGCGUGACAAAGACGCCAUACAACAUCCCCCAAAAUUGCUUCUAAGUAAGUGACAGCAAACUCGUGGAUAACUCUAACUUCACCGUUGUAACAUAUUGAAACCUCGAAGGAAAUUAUCGAACUUUAGCCAAAUUGACUAAAGUGCGCGAAAGAAUUGGUUGGACAAGUUUCAAUUAGCAUUCCAACAAUGAGUUAAGAGGUGUUGGAAAGGUUUUAGCAUCGAACGGCGCAAAACAGAAUCGAAAACGGCCAAAACUGCAUUCUGGAGCAAAGUGUACAGGUACAACCAUCGAGUUGUCACCGGUACAGCAUUGCAGGCCGAGAGGGAGAAGCACUCGGGUUUGAGAAAUUUUGCCUGUGUUACCGGUGACACUCCUGGUGUGUACCGGUACACUUUGGAAAAACCUGCGAGAAUUGCUCUGGGGUUUGCCUCUGCGUAAUCGUGUUACCGGUGACAGCAUCCCGUGUACCGGUACACUUUGGUCUGGCAGCAACAUUGAGACCUAUUGCAAAUAAGAAUAUUUGGGGAGCCUAGUUGCAAUUAUAGCACACCAUAUUAAUCCCAUCUCUUUUCCUUUCACAGCAGCAGCCUCUCUCCUUCUCUUUCUCUCAUUUCUCUCUUUCUCUCUGUAGAGAACUUAGCCUAAGGCUUGGAAAGGGUGGAGAGGAAGACUUUGAAGAGGAUUUUGGAGACUUUGGUGGUUCUAGAAGCUCUCCUACAAGAUGGAUCUUGGGAGGAGCUUGGGCUAAGAUAAGUUUUAGAGUAAAGCCCAUCUAGGUUUUGGAUUUAAUCCUAAGUUUUAGAGUUUUGAGUUUGUUUCUAGAGUUAGAAACUUUUUUGAGGCUUGAGCUCCAUGAAAACCAUGGAAGCUCAAGGUCCUCUCAUGGUGGUUAACUAGGGUUCAUAGUUGAUGCCCUAGGAAUGGUCUAAAUGGCUUAGUGAUGGUAUUAGAAAGCUUCCUAGGUGAUUCUAAGGUAGCAUUUGCUUAGAGAUGAGAUCAAUCUAGGAGAAAUUCCAUCAUGGCAUUGUUAGGGCUUGGAAAUUAGGGCUUUUGCCUCCGGUCAUUUUCGAGACAAAUUAACCUCUUGGAAACCUAAUUAGGAGUAUUCCCGACGCGUGGGAUAACUCCGUUUAACGUUACGAAAAGUCUAGAUAUCAGAUUUGUAUAUAGGGCCUAAUUCGGCACUAUUUUAGGUAUAGGUCGCGGGAGAAGCGUCCUAAAAUCACGAGAGUCGAACUACAACCCUUAAUAUUUAAGAUGGGGGGUGCACGCCGGAAUCAUCGGAUUUCCCUUUAUGUCAAUUUCACCUUUUAUUGAGCAUAUUGAUGUAUAUUCAUUCAUGCAUAGUAGGGUUAAAUUACAUGUGAACUUUGGUUUGAUUUCAUUUACAUGCUUCUAACGUAGUUGAAUAUAGAGAAUGAUAGAACCAUAAUGGACAUGUAUGGUAGAACCCUAAAGUUGUAUGAAUGUGAGACUUGGACUUGGACAAUAGUAAAGAAAAGCGACAUUGACAAUAGAGACAUAAUUGGCAUUGAGAAAUUGGUUGUUAAACAUAGUUUAACCAUAGUGAUAUUGUAACAGGUAUGACUUGGAAACUAGCAUGAUCAAAUAGGUAGAAACCUAUUAUGACAAUGACAUUGUGACUAGUGGCUAUGUAUUCUCAAGUUGAGGAUUGGAUCGAUACUCACAUUAACUAGGCUUGAAGGAGGUAGCUCCCCCUCAAGCGGUGUACUCCGGAGUGUAGACACCACGGGGAAAGUACCCCGUUGACGAACCCUCGGGUGGUUGAGCCUAAAGCCUCCCCCAGUAGACGGAAAUUAUGAUGGUGAGCUUUGGGGUUAACAAUUGUUGACCGGUUCAAUUGGGUAUCAGCCAAGGUAAACAUGGAAAAGCAUGCAUGCAUAACAUCCUACAUAAGAUAAUCUGUUAUUGACCAGUUUUCUUGCAGGCAUAGUAUUAGCAUUAUUGUUGGUUACUUUUCUACUUCUUUGAAAUACUUACGCCUGAAUAGAUCUAGUGGGUAAGUCGGCGAGGUCGGUUGCCGAACCCACUGGGAACUUCAUUGUAGUUCUCACACCACUAACCCUACAGGUUCGAGCGCGAGCGGGGCGGCGGAAGACUGAGGCAAGGAUAUUGCGCCAUAGCUAGUGGCCACCGGGACUUAUGCAUUUUUAGUCAUUCCUUUUGUACAUGUAUCAACUUUUCUUUGUUGAUUUAGAGAAAUAUAAAGUUUUAAACAAUCAGGUGUUUUGGUGGAAUGAUUAGAAUGUAAAGAAUUAUGGUUGAAUGGAAAAAGAUGUAAUAGUUUUAGUUCACUUGUAUUUAGUUUAAAUCUAAUCAAAUAUCAUGUAUGAUUGUAUGUUUAGCUUAGAGCUUUCGCUUCCGUUGUCGCUUGCCCUUAUGCAAGCCUUGUAUAAUUGCAAAAUCUCUUUAUUGUUUGUUUAAUUAUACUUGUUGUUUGAGCCUUGGGCGGACAGAGGAGAUGCUGUUCGUUCGGCGUCUGUUUACGUGAUCCGAACCCGACCAAAUUGGCGGGGAUUGGGACGUGACAACCGUCCUCCACCACUUGUGGGCCUUCCCACCCAAGCAGUGAGUAGCAAGUGGAAUUCAUCCAAGCAGUGAGUAGCAAGUGGAAUUUUAUCCUACUCAACAAAUAGAUCCUCGAAGAGUUCUCAAUGGCAUCAACCCACAACUCCACAAUCUAGGGGUUCAACUAUUUUCCGUUAAAGGUCCGUGGGUGAUAAUUCACGAACUUCGUGAGGCUAGCUCGAGCCUGCUCCCAUUCUAUUUUGAGCAUUGCUUCAUCGGCAUUAGAGGUAUGGGAGUUACUUGGUGUAGUUGCUUUUGUCGAAGGUUUGACUACCACCCUAUUCGUGGCAGUGUUGCAUGGCAAUAGUAACGGUGGCAGCAGUGGAUAUACGCUGAUGGGCCACACGAGAAGUAGGCGGGGAGCACUCGUGCCUGCCCUAUGGCAAAAGCUUCAGCCUAUUGCUGAGCAAGCUGGUCAACAACAUUAGUCAGGGCCGUCAUUUGGUCCUGAAGAGUGCGAAUCCAAUCCGACUCUGAUAGCUCCCUGACAAACGGGCACUCUGCACCAGCGCUCACACCCGAGUCAUAUCAAACCUUAACCACUUUCCAUGAGAUCAUGAGAAAAAGAAAAAGAUCAAACAUUGCCCUAGAAGGUGACUAGGAAUAACAAAAUUCACAAUCCCUCGAGAUUGAUGGACGCUUUCCCUUGACUCUUGACAUUACACCAUUUGUAGCCGUUGUGACCACUGAUCGGGGAGGAAAAGUGACACCAUCCUCUAUAAGACCCAAUCAAGACCACAAGACAUGACCCCAACAUUCCCACAACUUGCUCUCGCAUGCCUAGGUAUCCUUAGGCCCACUAUAACCUAAAUCUAGGUUUUGAUAUCAACUCAAUCUGCCAUGCCAUGAGCUAUAGUUGAAGGUCAUAAUGGGGAUGUGAUCAAAUCCGCCACAGGUACUAAGGUCACAAUCCCUGCCUGUACGACACUGAUAUAGAACACCUAUCAAAAGGGUACAUGAUAUCCCAAGAUAAUACCAUACUUUCUCUCCAAUUCUUGCAUAAAACAACAAGUUAGACACUAGUAGCAUAAACCAAACCUUCUACUAUUCUAUUACAAAUACUUGCCAAUUACACUUGUUUGUUAUGUACAAUUCCAAAAAUAUCGCUAUUACAUUAGUCACCCCAAAAUGUAAAGGAUCUAGAGUUCAGUUUGGGUACUAUCUACACGUGCCCUUGCCUGGUGCCCUUGCUCCUCUAAGCCCAGAUCACCUGGAAAAGCCCAGGGUGAGAAACUUUAAACAAACUUUCCAGUAGGGACAAUAGGCCGCAAGGGAUGAACUACACCUACUGGUUCACUCGGAAAUAAAAAGAAAUAGAUACUGAAAGUGGAUGAGAAAGUAUGAGUAAAAGUUAUAAGGAAUCAACUACGCUAUGAUAGCAUGGUAACAAUAACCAAGGAAAGCUCAUCAUAAAGUUACAAUAAAUAACUAGCUAUACUCAUGCAUCAAUACUUCUAAGUCCUCGAACUACCCAACUGUACCCAAUCUAAUCAUUGGUCGGUCAUAGGGACUCAACCUAAGAAUACUGAUGAAGCGUUGCCGGGAACUCACUACCAUAGUUACUUCAUUGCGCGCAAGGUUAGGCUUGCCACCACUGCUCUUUACUGCACAAAAGUGCGAUUGUCACAGUCACCGCAUAACAAUUACCGACUUCGAAGGGGACUUAAGGGCUGUGACCACCCAAAGUAUUUAUCUUAGUAUCACUGUACUGCAAGUUAUAGUCAUAUGCAAUGAUCAAGGAUCAGUAGCAAAUCUAAUAAAUACAUCCAAUCUAAAUGGCCCCUACAAAGCAUAUAUGUCAAUCAUGUAUGAGCAUGUCUAAUACUCCUACAAGGCGAAUAUGUCAAUCACAUAUGAGUAUCUGUCAAUGCUCCUAUAUAUAAGGCAAUGUCAAGUCAUGAUACACUUACAAGGCAAAGUUUGCUACUACCCAUACAUAUCCACAUAAUAAGAUCCCACGUAGCAUGCCCCUAAUAUCAAUCAUAUGUGCCUCUACAAGGUAAGUUUAGAUCAUGAAUUUUCAAUGACGGUUGCCGCUAGAAGGCUACGUUUUAACCUUGCACGUCAAAUGUCCUUACAAGGUGAUCCAUUAUAACAUUAGACGAUAUGAACUAUGAAUAUCACUAAGUAUAGUGUCAAAGUUAGGCAUAUUAGUUAACAAUUGACAUGCAACAUCUAUCCUCUCCUCAUACAAGCAUAUGUUAAGGGCACCAUGACUAUAUCAAGAGUUAAAAUGAGAGAAGGAUAGGAAUGGACGAACCAAAUAGUAAAGCAAGACCAUUUUUGGACUGAGUAUCCACCUUGAACCAUAAAUUCGACAUCUAUCACGUGUCGCCGGCUCAUUGAAUUUUAGUUGGUCAUAAGGAGAAAUAUAAAAACACCACAAACUCCUUUAGGAUUUCAAAACUCAACAUACUAUUAGACAUAUCCAACCAUGAGGCCUUAAGGCUUCAAAACUUGAACCCUAGUUCAAACAUGCAAACAUACACAUCUUUCCUUACAUAGGGCUUAGGGUUUCCAAACAUAACCAAAACUCCCACCAAUUAGGGAGAUUCUGCGUACAAACAAGCAAAUCUUAGAUUUUCUUCACAUGAUGCCAACAUACAUGUCUUCAACAUGUAGAAACUCCAAAUGAACUCCAAAACCCUCAAAACAUAAAAUCAACAGUACCAAAUCUAAGGAUUUAAGAGUUUAAGAGCAACUCACUUUGAUUCAUAAGCUUUUCCCUUCCUCCAAGAAAUCUCGCUUGUGUCGAGGUUGUCAUUUCCUUCUUUCGAAGCUUCUACUCCCACCUAUGCAUUCUGACGAGCAAGAAUCUACCCUCUAUUUUCUUUUAAACUAGAAGGAGAGGGAGCAAUGGUGAAGAGGGCGAAAGAGGGUUGGAGAGGGAGAAGAGAUCAAAAGAGAGAGAAGGGAGAGGAGAUUAGGGCUUAAGUUGGUGCUAUUCAACCUGAGGGGUCCCCUAUAUAUAGAGGGGUUGUACUUAUUGCAUGUUAACCCCUCAACCGAAGCAAAAUAGUUAAAAAAGUCCUCUCUCAAAAACAGCUUUAGAUGCAGAAGGUUCACACUUAUAGAAGUCUGGAUCUUGAAUGUCCUUCCAAGUACGCAGCCAAGGCCCGAACUCCGAAGUCUUAGUUUUCAAGGACUUUUUCCAAACUUCGUUUUCGAUCUGUUUUUAUCCAAACUUAGCCUAGGCUAACUCUUAGAUAUCCAAACUUAUCCAAAUUGUGUUUGGAUCUGUUUCAUCUGUAUUUUAUCAUGUUUGGUAAAGUUUAAUAUACUAAAUUGAAGUUUAGUAGUUGGAACUUCUUCUGUAGAAUGGAUUAGCGGCUUCGACAAUAAGAAUUCACUUUAUGAUGAGGCCUAGUGAGUUGAGAUGGGUUAUGCCUGCCAAAAUAGUUGAAUCAUUUGCUCUAUAUCUAAAAUUCCUUUUCCUCUACCUAUGAUUGAACAAUUGGCUUAGUAGUUUAGGGUUCAUGGUAUUUCUUUCAUACUUACUUGCCAUGUAUGUUUUAUAUUUGUUGAUAGAUACAACUCAUUUUUGGAAAUAUAUGAUUUAGCAAGCAUAAGUAAAAAUUGGCACCAUUGUUAGUCUUGUAACUCUAGAAUUUUCACAAUUAGUAGUUGAAGCUACUUCAUUUAGAACUUCUAUACCUAGCAUAUGAUUUUCAUGAUUAGUAGUUGAAGCUACGUCAUUGAGAACGUCUAUAAUUGACAAUGACAAUUUAUACAUUUUGGAAAAAAUAGUUGUGGCAUGUCAAGAUUGCCAUUAUAAACCAUUUUCCUCAAGAUAAGCGUGCUAGAACAGUAGAGUCUUAAGGUCCCACUAUUGUUGUAACACAUGGACCUUUACAAAUUGCGAGGUUCGGGUGUUUGAGUUGUGUUACGAGUUUUUCCAGCUUUUCUUGAGGGUCGUUGACAGUGUUCCGACCUAUGACUCGCAUCCCGAGAAUCGAGGGUUUAACUUAGCCCAUGAUUUGGAGUUGGCGCCGUCAGAUCUUUACGCUUGAAAGCUAUGGUCCAUUAUUUAUGCGAGCGGUGUGAGUUUACAUGAUACAAGACUUAAAGUACUUAUUUACUCCAAAGAUUAACUUGAAUCGCGAUAGAUUUUGGGCUACUGUCAAGAUUAUGAAUCUGACGAUUCUUUAACCACCCAGCAAGCUAAUGGUCGCGAUGCACUACAUAAGAAAUCGACGGCGAAAACUUGGGAUGCUUGAUUGUUACUUCAACCGGCCGUUUGUUUGAGCAGAAUGAAACGCGUUGGAGUGGAGUGGUGGCUCCUAGAACAGCCCUUGAGACUGAGAUGAACCUUGUGUGCAAUCACUUUAGAAAGGAUAAAGAGAGCAAGCUCAUGAUGUGGAGUUGCAUAAGGUUAGAGCAAAAGGGUUGAUGGUUGCACGGUAUUUCACACCGUGGAUGAAAUCUUGGAUUGAUGCGUUUUCCUCGUGGGCGAUUUGGUUACCAGCGAAUCGGCACUUAAGGAGAAUAUUCUUCAAACGCACACCGUGCACAACCUAUGCCUAUUCAUCCGGAGCACCAAGAGUAUAAGGACUUGAAGUGCUUUAUUGUGGCCGAAUGAAAAAGGAGUGGCGGUUUGUAGCGUUCGAUGUGCUAACCUUGCCAACAGGUAAAGCUGAGUCGGCAAGUUUCGCGCCGGACAAUUGCAGAGCUUAGAUUCUAGAUAGAAAUCGAAGAAGAUCACCAUGGACUCAUGAGGGAUGACUCGCAACCCAGGCCGGGCAAUGACUGCUAUUGAGGUAUAUCGAGAAUAUAUAGGUUUACGAAAUCGGCUCAUUAUCUAUACCUAUGAACACUACUUGGAACGCGAAGAGACUCGCACAGGAUAUUCUUGAUGAGAUUUGUGCGAUAGGCACGGGAUACCUAUUUCUAUAGUUCAGAUCGAGUCUCCAUUUUGUAUCUCACUUUUGGAGGAUCUGUAGAUCCUGCCACAGCCUAUGGAUGUCAUGCACAGCUUCCACCCCUAGAGGCUGGGCAAGUCAAAAACACAAAACGAAGCGUCAGCGAUACAGACUCUAGAGGACAUUCUUCAUAUGCAUGUGUAAAUUGAUUUUCAGGGAGGAUGGUCGUGAGCAUCUACUAAUGGCAAAGUUACUUAUAACACAGUUAUCCAAGCGAAGACAAAGACGGCACUUUCGAGACAUACUCUAUGGCGGAAGUGUAUGAUCGCCACUGCUCAUUAAGAGUGAAAGCUGCACAGAUUGGCUUUAGGCCCAAGUGCUCCAGAAAGUAAGGACACAGUCCGCAUUGCUCGGGAUGCAGAUUGUUGACAGCGCCAGAGUAUGCUCAAAAAGUAUAGCUAAAAGUGUCCGACGGAAACUUGGAGUUUCUUGAUUGGAGAUAUCAUUUUCUCCUUGAAAGCCGCGCGACUCAAAGGAAAUUAGAAUAUUUGGGAUCCGGGAUAAUAUUGAGCCCCCCCGAUCAUUGGAAAAACCCCCCGUAUGCACGAGUUUGAUGUGUAGCCGUAUAAGCGUAUUCGAACUAUACUCUAGGAGCAAACCUACUGCAUGUUACACACUGGUCUGUCCUUCCACAUAUUGAUCAUUCGAAAAAAGUACAAUCUGCGAUUCUGCUCAUAUAUUUUUUGGAUGUCUCUAUCCGAUUGGAGUCUGAAGGGAUGAUGUAGAGUUUUGAGCAGUCAACGCCGAUGAGAUUUUGCUCGUUAUGAAGAUAGCUGCUGCAGAAAUCCGGAUAAAUUCCGUAUGGUUGAAGAUUUGGGCAGCCACGAAUCUAGCGGGAGGCCACGUGGAGCUGAGAGCCGCGCUGUGAGUGCUAAUCCCGCAUCUUUUUCAGAUUGGAUCAUGAGCACCUUGCUUUUCCGAGUUUCGAGGACGAAAAACUCCUUUUGAAAGGGUGAAUGCCUUCACACAUGUAGUGUAUGGAUAAUUCAAAACUAUGUUUAAUUUGUGAAUGCUACUAGUAUAUUAUUAAUGAAAUACUAUUCUAAUUUGAAAAUGAUUUAAUUCGUUUGUUGAUAAUUUGGGUUUUGUACAUAUUUGUGAAUGUGAAAGAAGAUCAUGUAGAAUUUAAAUAAAUAGCAUGCUGAAUCAUGAAAUCAUGAAAUAAUUUUGUUUUUAGCGACAGGAAGAUUGGUCGUUAUAAUAUCGCUUUAAAAUUAAUUAUUAAAUGGGAUAUUUUUGUUAGCGACGGAAAAGUUGGUCACUAUUGCAUGCUAGUUAUUGGUAAAAUUACAAUGCUAAAUCUCAACUGCGUCGGUAAGAUUGGUCGUUACUUUAUAAUUUUUUGAUCAUUAAUACUACUCAUUAACGACGGGAAGGUUCCCAUCAGCUUUUGUUACUAACGACGGUUACAUUGAUCAGGUCGUUAAUGCAUUUAACGAAGGAAGCAAUAACGACGGUUGACGACGGUUUUCAUGACCGUCGUUAUUGUGUUUUAACGACAGGAAAUAAAUCUAUAACGACCGUUUUUCCCUUCUUUAUAUAUAAUAUUUCUUGUAGUGUACGUGAUCUGCGGUGGUCCUCAUUACCCACGGCAAUGCUCUCGCAGUCGGGGCAGGUGCUACUUGUGUGGCCAGGAGGGCCAUUUUCAGUCGGACUGCCCAAGGGGAUCUAUCCCAGCGCUAUCUUCAGCAUCGGCACCAGCUUCAUCGGGUCCCAGCCAGGGGACGCCUUCUGCUCACUACCUGGCCGGGCGGCCACUUGUUCAGAUGCAGAGGGAGGGGUCAGGACAGGCCCCGAGCGGGCGCAUGUAUGCGGCCCAGACUGAAAAGGCGGCAGCAGUCGAGAAUGUGGUUGCAGGUAUCAUUUUAUUAUAUGGCAUUCGAGUUCGUGCAUUAUUUGAUACCGGUGCAUUGCAUUCAUUCAUGGAUCGGCUAACAGCCGAGUUGUAUGGCAUUCCACUAGUUUCCCUGUUGCAUCCGGGACGUGUUGUUGUUCCCGACCAUUCCUUGGUCAUUAGGGAGUUUUGCCCCAGUUGCCCUAUUCGGGUAGGAGAUUGGAUCAUGCCUGUGGAUUUACUUGCUUUGCGUAAGCUCAGAGAGUUUGAUGUUGUCUUGGGCAUGGAUUGGUUGACCAAGUAUUUCGCCACUAUCGAUUGCAAGAAUCGAACGGUGACUUUUAGAAAGCCGGGGCAGGAGGAGGUUGUGUAUAGAGGAUGCCAGAGCUCACUGUUUGCGAUGACGAUUAGCUCCUCUCAAGCUAGGCAGCUGAUCAGCAGGGGUUGCUUAGCCUACUUAGCUAGUGUAGUAUUGAGGGGUGAUGCCGACGCCCCCAGGAUUGAGGAUAUUCGGGUUGAACGGAAGUUUUGCAAUGUGUUUCCAGCAGAGCUUCGAGAUAUGCCACUUGAUAGGGAGAUUGAGUUUGUGGUAGAUCUCGUCCCUAUGACUACUCCAAUCUCAAAGGCACCCUAUAGGAUGGCACCAGCAGAGUUGAAAGAGCUGAGGGCAUAGUUGCAGGAUUUGUUGGACAAGGGUUUUGUUCGCCCGAGUGUCUCGCCUUGGGGAGCACUGGUUCUGUUUAUUAAGAAGAAUGACAGAUCACUUCGCUUGUGCGUGGACUAUCGUGAACUUAAUAAAGUCACGAUUAAUAACAAGUAUCCGUUUCCAAGGAUUGAUGACCUGUUCGAUCAGCUUCAAGGAUCGAGUGUGUAUUUCAAGAUCGACUUGCAGUCGGGAUACCACCAGUUGAAGAUCAGGCCUGAGGAUGUGUCGAAAACGGCUUUUAGAACACGGUAUGGACAUUACGAGUUUACUGUUAUGCCGUUUGGGCUUACUAAUGCCCUGGCAGCUUUUAUGGAUCUAAUGAACCUUGUUUUCAAGCCUUAUCUAGACAGGUUCGUCGUAGUAUUCAUCGACGACAUUUUGGUCUAUUCCCAAAGUGAUGCAGAUCACGAGGAAUACUUGAGACUUGUACUUCAAGUGCUUCGGGAAGAGAAGCUCUAUACCAAGUUGAAGAAGUGUGAGUUUUGACUUAGAGAGGUGGCGUUCUUGGGCCAUUUGAUUUCAGGAUCAGGUAUAGCUGUGGAUCCUAGGAAGAUCGAAGCCAUCAAGGAUUGGCCGAGGCCGACGAGCGUCACCGAGAUUCGGAGUUUUCUUGACUUGGCCGGCUACUACCGGAGAUUUGUUGAGGGAUUUGUAAAAUUGUCUACUCCCCUCACGAGACUCACGUAUAAGGGCACCAAGUUUAUUUGGAAUGACGCGUGUGAAAAAAGUUUUCAAGAGUUGAAACAAAGAUUGACUACAGCCCCGAUCCUGACCUUGCCAGUUGCUGGAGCAGGGUAUGUGAUUUAUAGUGAUGCCUCCUUUAAUGGAUUAGGUCGUGUUUUGAUGCAGGACGGGAAAGUGAUCACGUAUGCCUCUCGUCAAUUGAAGGAUUGUGAAAGAAACUAUUCUACGCAUGAUUUGGAGUUGGCGGCCGUAGUCUUUACCUUGAAGCUAUGGUGCCAUUAUCUUUAUGGCGAGCGGUGUGAAGUUUACAUGGAUCACAAGAGCUUAAAGUACUUAUUUACUCAGAAGGAGUUGAACUUGAGGCAGCGUAGAUUGUUGGGGCUACUCAAGAAUUAUGAUCUGACGAUUCUUUACCACCCAAGCAAGGCUAACGUGGUCGCGGAUGCACUAAGUCAGAAAUCGACGGAAAACUUGGCGAUGCUUGUUGUUACUCAACCGCCGUUGUUUGAGCAGAUGAAGCGGUUGGAGUUGGAGGUGGUGGCUCCUGAUACACCCUUGAGACUGAUGACCUUGGUGGUGCAACCUGCACUUUUAGAAAGGAUUAAAGAGAAGCAAGCUCAUGAUGUGGAGUUGCAAAGGGUUAGAGCUAAAAUGGUUGAUGGUUGCACCGGUGAUUUCACCGUGGAUGAUCUUGGAUUGAUGCGUUUCCGUGGGCGGAUUUGUGUACCAGCGGAAUCGGCACUUAAGGAGAAUAUUCUUCAAGAAGCACACCGUGCACCCUAUGCUAUUCAUCCGGGAGGCACCAAGAUGUAUAAGGACUUGAAGUUGCUUUAUUGGUGGCCCGGAAUGAAAAAGGAUGUUGGCGAGUUUGUAGCUCGAUGUCUAACUUGCCAACAGGUAAAGCUGAGUACCAAGUUUCCGCCGGAAAAUUGCAGAGCUUACCGAUUCUAGUAUAGAAAUCGAAGAAGAUCACCAUGGACUUCAUGAUGGGAUUGCCUCGCUCACAGGCCGGGCAUGAUGCUAUUUGGGUGAUCGUAUAUAGGUUUACGAAAUCGGCUCAUUUCAUACCUAUUCACACUACUUGGACUGCUGAGAGACUCGCACAGGUAUAUCUUGAUGAGAUUGUGCGAUUGCACGGGAUACCUAUUUCUAUAGUUUCGGAUCGAGAUCCCCAUUUUGUAUCUCACUUUUGGAGGAGUCUGUAGGAUGCCUUGGCCACGCGCUUGGAUUUCAGCACAGCUUUCCACCCCUAGAGUGAUGGGCAGUCAGAGCGCGCGAUACAGACUCUAGAGGACAUGCUUCAAGCAUGUGUAAUUGAUUUUCAGGGAGGAUGGUCGUAGCAUCUACUGAUGGCAGAAUUUGCUUAUAACAACAGUUAUCAAGCAAGCAUUAAGAUGGCACCGUUCGAGGCACUCUAUGGACGGAAGUGUAGAUCGCCACUUCAUUAGAGUGAAGCUGGCGAGAGAUUGGCUUUAGGCCCAGAUGUGCUCCAGAAAGUAGAGGACAAGGUUCGCAUUGCUCGGGAGCGAUUGUUGACAGCCCAGAGUAGGCAAAAGAGUUAUACUAAUAAGUGUCGACGAAACUUGGAGUUUCUGAUUGGAGAUCAUUUCUCCUUGAAAGUCUCGCCGACCAAAGGAAUUAGAAGAUUUGGGAUCCGGGAUAAGUUGAGCCCCCGAUUCAUUGGACCGUAUGAGAUUUUGGAGCGUGUAGCCCGGUAGCGUAUCGACUUGCUCUACCGCCAAACCUAUCGCAUGUACACAAUGUCUUCCACAUAUCGGUCAUUCGGAAGUACAUCUUCGAUUCGGCUCAUAUUUUGGAUGCUCUACCAUUGGAGCUGAGGGAUGAUUUGAGUUUUGAGCAGCAACCCGUGAGGAUUUUGGCUCGCGAUAUGAAGAAGCUGCAGAAUCGGGAUAUUCCGUAUGUGAAGAUUCUUUGGAGCAGCCACGAUUAGCGGGAGGCCACGUGGGAGCUGGAGAGCGCGCUGCUGGAGUGCUAUCCCCAUCUUUUUCAGAUGGAGUCAUGAGAUACCUUGCUUUCGAGUUUCGAGGACGAAACUCCUUUUUAGAAAGGGUGAAUGUAACACACUGGACCUUUUGCAAAUUGUGAGGUUCGAGUGUUUGAGUUGUGUUACGAGUUUUUCUAACUUUUCUGGAGGGUCGUUGACAGUGUUCCGACCUAUGGCUCGCAUCCCGAGAAUCGAGGUUUUAACUUAGCACCAAUGUCUCCAAAGUGAAGAUUAUAGGGUUGCUCUCGGGUUUGUCUCUGCAGGAAAGUGUACCGGUACAACAUUGAAGUUGUACCGAAACAAGAGGUUGUACCGGUACAACAUUGGAUUUGUACCGGUACACAGAGCUAUUUCUACCAACCCGAGCCUCGGGUUCGCACGUACUGAGAGUUUUGUACCGGUACACUUUCCCGUAUACCGGUACACAAUGCAGAAAUGCAGUCUGCUGUUUUUUAGGGGUGUUUUUGGAAUUGUAGCCUAUCUAUAUAACACCCCACGCCCCAUAGAGGCUUUCCUGUGCUGAGAACAGAGGAGAACCAGGUAGAGGACCCCUCCACUUCCUCUCUUUGAUUUCCUUCCUUUUUUUUGGAUUUUUAGAGGAAUAAUCAUCUCUUUUUGCUUCUUUUGGUAUUUUGGUGACCUACGCACCAUUGGAGAAGCUUUGGAAGGAAGAUUGGAGCUUGCUUGAGGAUUGAUCUUCAACCCUAGUUGGUUUUGGGCCUUGUUUGAGACUUCUUAAGAGGUUAGUAACAUGAUUCUUGCUUUAGAUUCAUGUUUUGAUGAUUUUUGCUAAAUGAAACCCUAGAAAUAGAUAUUUAGGGUUUAAAUUGGAGAUUUUUGAUUUAGGAUUUUUGGAGCUCAAUUGUUUGGAUUAGAACCUCCAUCUAGGUUGGAUUGGAAGGAUUCUAACUCUCAUUUGGAGAUUGAGAGAGUUUUUCACCAUUCAAGGUGAGGUUUUGCCUUAUUCUUUGGGUUGGAUAAUGUUUAACCUAUGUGUUGUUCGUAACGUUCGUGUAACUCUCAUAGUUUCACCUUUAGGGAGUUAGGAGGCUUGUGGGCACCUUCGUCGUCUCAAACGAACGAUCGUGAGGAGACUUGGUAAGUUUGACCUCACCAAAAUGAGAUAAAUUUCUCAUUUUAUGGUUAUACUUGUCGUAAAAUGAAACUUCAUAUAUAUUCAUGAUAGAUAGAAUAUUUAUGGAUUUUAGAAUGCUUAAAAUGCACUUGUCAUAUAUAAUGCAAAUUUGGACCUCUAUGUAGUAGAGAGUUAUUCAUGUUGGAAUCAUGCAUUUUGAUAGCAUUCUUAUGUAUGGCUUGGGAUCACAUUUCAAGUAGUGGAAAUGAUGAGUAUAAUAUGCUAUUGAAUUUAGAACUCAUAUUGACCUAAGAGAAAACAUAAUGCCAUAAAGGGGCAUUAGAUGUAUAUGAUGUAUGAUAUAGCAAGCUAAUGUCACUUGUCAUGUAUAGACGAAAAAUGUUUAUGUAUACGGGUCUGUUAGCGAGCCCGGGGAACUUGGUAAUCUUAGACAUGACAGUUUUAUUCACUAUUUUAUUACAAUUGGUAUCGAGGCCAGCAUACUUCUUCCUGUCUAUGAUUUGUUUUGGCAUUCGAUAUUUUUACAUCUAUUAUUACAGAAAGCCUCAAAUAUUUUUUGGCAAAUUUUGUUAAUAGAAUAUAUUCUUUUAUGAAGAAUUGUCUAUUAGAAAGUUUAUACAUCAAAAGCGAGGUUGGUUCAAAAUGGAAAAUGAAAUCAGUAUUGGAAUCAUAAUAGACAUGAAUUGGAAAUAGCAUGAUAAAAUCUCAUAAUAUGCUUGGUUCAAAAUAACAAUCAUAAACGGUAUGAUUGAUUUCUACUUCCUUUCUUUUAAAAAAAUUUGAUUAUCAAAAAACAAUUAAAAUAAAAAUAAAAUAAAAUACAAAAUAUAAAAAUAAUUUAAAAUUGAGUUUGCACCUUAAAACAAAAAAUUAAUUUUGUAAUUAAAUGCAAACUAAAAGUUAAAUAUUAAAAAUUUACAUAAAAAUAUUGAAAUGAUAAGAAAAAAAUUUAAAUGUAAUUUUUAAAAAAUUUAAAAUUUAAAAUUGAGUGCACUUCAAAAUAUAAAACUAAUNNNNNNNNNNNNNNNNNNNNNNNNNGACCCAAGUUCAACAUGCAUGUGUCAUUUAACAUAAUCCACAAUAUGUCAAUAUACAUUCAUCUAGUAUAUUCUACAAUAAAUCAACAUGCACUCAUUCAUUAUAUUCCACAAUAUGUCUACAUAUAUAUGCCAACCAUUCAUAUGCCAUCCAACAUGUUCUAUAAUUUAUCAACAUGCAUAUUACCUCUAACAUAUUACUAUAACAUUAUUUUCAUGCAUUCAUGUAACAAUUAACUCAUGCAUUUAUCUAGCAUUUAACACAUUAUAUGUCAUUAUGCAUGUUAUCUCAACAGUAAGUAACAUCGACUAUAUGCAUCAAUUAGAAAAUCAUUACUCUUAGACAUAUAGGCGACCUAGUCGCUUCGGUGAGCACAACCCACCUCAUUUCGCAUUCCGAUUGCUUGUCGACACUUGCAAUCGGCCUCCCGCAGCACCCGGCACCCGGUUUGGCCCGAUCUCUCGUGCGACCAUCCGAACGGCCUCCAAUUCACGAUCCGAAAAUUAAAGGUCUUCGGUUAUGUGCCACGGUGCUUCAAAUCCGUUUUCAUGGGUUUACGAUGUCGCCUCGGCCCUCCAGGCGGAAACGAAGCCUAAACGUCCGUUUCUUUAAUAACUUUGUAACGGCUCGUCGGAUUGCUGAACCGUCUUCGCCAACGCGUUUCGUUACCUAGCAAUUAGGUUUACAGAGGGUCAAAUGAGAUCAAACCCUCAUAUUUACAAAACUAGCAUUUUGAACCCUAGGUUUUCUACUAGGUAAAAACCCACCAUUAGGGCCUUGGUUUCAAGCAUCAAUCCUCUAAUUAGUAUGCUAGAAUACCUCUAAACCCAUUCUUAGAGUUUAAAAACCAAACUAGAGAGAAAUGCCAUUAAAGGGUUUGAAGCUUACCUUCAAAGCUUGCUCUCUAAUGGCCAAUGAGGAAGAUGAAGAAGAUGACUUUCCUCCAAGCUUCCUUCUCCACCAAAACCCUCUCUUUUGGGAGAGAAUUAGAGAGAGAAAAUGGAGGUUUCUCUCUCUCCAUCUACAUGCGUGUGUGUGUGUGUGUGUGUGUGUGUCUCGUGUGUGUGUGUGUGUUGCAUUCGGCUGAGGAAGAAGAAAGGGACAAUCCCCUUUUUACAACUUAGUCCCUCAACUAUGCACUAUUCACUUCGGGUAGUUUAAAAUCUGAUAUCUUUUGCCGGAACUCCCUGAAUGUCCGUUUGAGCUCAAACUUGACAGUCAUAUUCAGUUUUACGUACUGAGUAAGAAUAUAUUUUAAGUUUUUAGUUUCGACCCCAUUUGGUCACCGAAAACUGUACCGAACUGUAAUCUUUGUCAGAUAACUCUCGGAUUUUAUUUCUCACUCUACGGGUGUCAGAAAAAUAUGAAGCUUCAAAUCUAGCCUCAUAAAAAUAUUUUUGACUUAUCCUCCAAUUUUCAUAAUUUUCUGAAACUGUGCAUUUUCUGCUAAUUUAUCUGUCCCGUUUUCAACAGAAAAUUCUAAAUCUUCUGUUUCCAAUCCGAUUUCAGCACAAGUCAUUUCUAACUUAUGUUUUACUCCUAUAAAUUCAAUAAAAAUAGUUUCUCACACUAUUUUUAUUUAUUUUUAUUUUUAUACCAAAAUCUGGCAUUGUAUAACCAAUGUCUCCAAAGUGAAGAUUAUUGGGUUGCUCUCAGGUUUGUCUCUGCAGGAAAGUGUACCGGUACAACAUUGAAGUUGUAUCGGAACAAGAGGUUGUACCGGUACAACAUUGGAUUUGUACCGGUACACAGAGCUGUUUCUGCCAACCCGAGCCUCAGGUUCGCGUGUACUGAGGGUUUUGUACCGGUACACUUUUUCAUGUAUCGGUACACAAUACAGAAUGCAGUCCGCUUUUUUUUUUUUCAGGGAUUUUUUUGGAAUUGUAGCCUAUCUAUAUAACACCCCAUGCCCCAUAGAGGCUUUCCUGUGCUGAGAACAGAGGAGAACCAGGUAGAGGACCCAUCCACUUCCUCUCUUUGAUUUUCUUCCCCUUUUCUUGGAUUUUUAGAGGAAUAAUCACCUCUCUUUUGCUUCUUUUGGUAUUUUGAUGACCUACUCACCAUUGGAGAAGCUUUGGAAGGAAGAUUGGAGCUUGCUUGAGGAUUGAUCUUCAACCCUAGUUGGUUUUGGGCCUUGUUUGAGACUUCUUAAGAGGUUAGUAACAUGAUUCUUGCUUUAGAUUCAUAUUUUGAUGGUUUUUGCUAGAUGAAAUCCUAGAAAUGGAAAUUUAGGAUUUAAAUUAGGGAUUUUUGAUUUAGGGCUUUUGGAGCUCAAUUGUUUGGAUUAGAACCUCCAUCUAGGUUGGAUUGGAAGGGUUCUAACUCUCAUUUGGAGAUUGAGAGAGUUUUUCACCAUUCAAGGUGAGUUUUUGCCCUAUUCUUUAGGUUGGAUAAUGUUUAACCUAUGUGUUGUUCGUAACAUUCGUGUAACUCUCAUAGUUUCACCUUUAGGGAGCUAGGAGGCUUGUGGGCACCUUCGUCGGCUCAAACGAUUGUGCGGAGACUUGGUGGGCUUGGCCUCACCAAAAUGAGAUAAAUUUCUCAUUUGAUGGUUAUACUUGUCGUAAAAUAAAACUUUAUGCAUAUUCAUGUUAGAUAGAAUAUUUAUAGAUUUUAGAAUGCUUAAAAUGCACUUGUCACGUAUAAUGCAAAUUUGGACCUGUAUAUAGUAGAGAGUUAUUCAUAUUAGAAUCAUACAUUUGGAUAGCAUUCUUAUGUGCGGUUUGGGAUCACAUUUCAAGGAGUGGAAAUGAUAAGUAUAAUAUGCUAUUGAAUUUAGAACCCGUGUUGACCUAAGGAAAAACAUAAUGCCAUAAAGGGGCAUUAGAUGUAUAUGAUGUAUGAUAUAGCAAGCUAAUGUCAUAAAAAGGCAUUGGGCUUGGCAUAUGUAUGGACUUAGUAAACCUAAUGUCAUGAAGGGGCAAUAGGUGCAGUAAAUGGUUGAACCUUUACUUUGGGACAUUAAACUAGAAUUUUAGAUUGCUAGUGACUAUUUUCAUAUUAGAGACAUGAUGACUGGGUUCUUGAGACGAUAACUAUACUUGCUUGCCAUUUGUGCUCAUUCGCACAUGCUUGUGAGGGUCUCUCCUUACAAGCCGGCACUCUGGAGUUAGCGUUUGCAACAGCAGUUCGCUCGUGCGGGAUUGAGAUGCCUGUAGGGCCGCGUGGGACAGACUCAUUCUUAGUAUGAGAUGACGGGCUACCACAGGCAGCUAGGCGGCACAAGCUGGACUACACUCGUGUAGGUCCUUAAACGAGAUUGGACAUUAAUAUUAAAUCAUGAUAUGACAAUCACUACUAGACAGUUUAUAGUCGAUGGAUUCCUCAAUUGGGCUUAUGGCAUAGUAUUGGACAUAUGGACAUGUAGUAUACUUGAUAGAUUUGCCUAGUGUAUUAUAGUAUACUUGUUUGACAUAUUGGAGCAUGCUAAUUAUGUAUUGGACAUAUUUGACCAUGAUAGAAUAGAUGUACACCAUGUUGACAUCAUGUUAUGUUGUGGCACAGUAGUUUAGCAUUUCAAUACAUGCUUUCAUAUCUGCAGUGUAUUAGUAGUUUCAUUUAUCUACUCAUACUUUUGGGCCUAGUGGUGCAUUUUGCUCAGGUCAGUAAUUACCCACUGGGAAUUAUAAAUUAUAGUUCUCACACCCCCUAUUUUAUAUUUUCUUUCAGAGCCUUCCACUCCGGGAGAGGCUCGGAAUCGCGGGAAAGAAAUCGCCUCGAGCUAGCUAGCGAGGAAUUUGUCGAUAGAUGGUCUACCUCUCUUUUGGUUUUUUUUUGGAGAGAUUGAGAGAUUUGUACCAUUUUGUAGAGGCCACUCUGCUAUGUAACUGAGCUUUGUAUAGAUUUUGUGAUGUGUUCCUUACUCUUACCUUAGUGGUUUAGUUCCCUUUGAUUCUACUUGUUGUUAGAUUCUAGCUGUUCACAUGCUCUGAUAUCUCUAGAUAUUUAUAAUCUUUUCUUUAUUCAUUGCUUUUGUUGUAGACUCCUUAUAUGUGCAGGCAUAUGGCGGGUCUGGGCACGCGCCGGGCGAGUAUCCGCCGGGUCCUGGGGCGUGACAGAUUAAUUUAGUAUCAGAGCCCCUAGGGUUGAGUUUUAGUGGACCUAGCAAACCUUAGGCCCGUUGGACUAUAGGAAAUAGGCUCGUGAGAAACGAGGUCUAUUUGACUUGAGAGCGAAAGUAUUAUGAUUGGAUAUUUUUAUAAUUCUAAAAAGUUAGAAUUUGAUCAGAGUAUAUAGCUUCUAACUUCGCGGAGGGUUACGUUGGCGGCCGACAACAUAACAUCGGGAGUUAGUAGUAAAGAACACUUCCUUACUUUCAUAUGAUUUGGGUGUUGUUCGUUGAGUGGGGUUGCGAUAGCGUGGAUUUUACUAACUUGCGCUUUUAUGAUGUUGUAGUGAUAAUGUCGACUACACGCUGUAAAUUUGUUGGAGCGGACAACGCGGCGACCUUUGAGGAGGAGAAGGUCUCCGCUACCGCCGGAUCCGGCGGGGUCCGUGAGUUGAGGAGCCAGCUUGCGGCCCUCACCGACUUGGUUGCCCAGCAGGCGGCGGCAGCUCAGCAGCAGGCAAACGCGAUGCGCCGGCAGCGGAUGAAGCGCCUGGAGGACCUUUUACUGCAGUAGGCGGUUGCUAGGGAGACUCAGAUUCCUGCACCACCCGCGUCGGUAGAGGUGGUUGCGCCCAGGGUGUCAUCCCCUACACUCGACACUUCUCGGAUGGCACCUGCGGUUGCACCUCGAGAGGAGGAUGUUGCGGCACCACCAGCCCGGGUGCCCUUGGCGGGGGCAGUUUUCUCCGGGAUAGUUGAGGGAGCAGAGUGAGAUCGGCUCAUGGAUCGCCUCAACGAAUUCAGGAGGUGCAAUCCCCGGAUUUUCGUUGGAGAGAAGGUCGACCACUGGAUCGUAGAGAAGUGGUUGAUGCAUAUGGAGAAGUUGUUUCGAGAGAGAUAGAGUUUGGCUCGCCACACACCACUUGGACGGCGAGGCCUAUAGUUGGUGGUUGGAUAUUCAGGACAACCCCAACACCGACCUUUCAGCGAUUAAUUGAAAGCGGUUCAAGGAGCUUCUUCUAGAGCACUACUUCCCCGUUAUUGUCAAGAGGAAGAUGGAGCAAGACUUGCGCAGUUUGCUCCAGGGGGAUCAGACCGUGGCCGAGUACGAGAGGGAGUUCUGUCGCGUUCUACACUAUGUGCCCUUUGUGGUGCGGGACGAUGAGGAUAAGACCCGCAUCUUCGAGCGAGGACUUCGGCUAUCGAUCUUUCGGUUGGUGCAAUCUUCCAACCUCUAGACCUACCGUGACGUGGUGAACCGCGCGCUCACUACAAGAAGUUCAAGUUUUAGCAACAUUUAACUAGCAAUAUUUUAGUAAGUGACAUUGAUUACAAAAUUUAGAAACAUUUUUUUAUUCAUGUUGCUAAAUGUAUUUUUUUGCCAACAUUUAAACACAAAUGUUGCUAAAUACAAAUAAUAUCAACACUUAUUAUUAAAUGUUGCAAUGUUUAGUAACAUUUUGAUGAUAAAUGAUAAUGAAAUUUUUAAAUUUUGAAAAGCCCGCCUAAUUUUGAAAAUUUUAAUCUUUUCCCUCCUUUUUAGUAAUUCUUUCUUUUAUCUCUCUCUUCCUUUUCUUUGUUUCUUCACCCUAAGAGACUUUCUCCUCUCAUAGCUUAUUCUUCUAGUUCUUAAGAUCUACAAAAUUUUUUCAAAUUGGGAGAUUGGAGAAAGUAUAUUAAUUCAAAAUAUCAAGUUUGGUUUUAAAGACGGAGCAAGUAUAAAGGUAAAACAAUUUCAUACUUAUUUCCAAUCAAAAUCAUAGAUUUGAGAUUUUUUUUUCUCUUUCUUUUUCUUAUCUAAUAGAGUUUAGUAUGGCUAGAAUAAGAUUACUCUUCGACCUUAAUUUUGAUUCAUCAUUCCAUUAAUUUAUCGCAUUACAUGAUAUGAUUUGAGCUUUUUGUUUCUUACUUUUUCAUCAAUUUUUUUUUACAUUUACUUUUAGAUCUUAAUGUUGUGGUUAUUACAUUGAUAUUAUUUUAAUUUAAAACCUUUUAUUUAUUUCUUUUAGAAUAUAUAGUUAGUUUUGAAGAUGUUAGAGCAAGUAUGGUGGUCUCAUAUGAUUUGGUAAGGACAAUAUAUUUUCUCUUUUAGUAGUUUAUAGUAUCAUAUAUCAUAUGAUCGAUUGUAUAAAAAUUUAAUUUUAACUUUGUUUUUUUUAUAGGAUAAGCAAAUGGAGGUUACAAGAUUGUUCCCUUCAAGCAUUUUGGAGACUUUCACGACCAAUAUGGAGCGAUUCCCUUCAAGCAUUUUGGAGACUUUCACGACCAAUAUGGAGCGAUUAAUUUUUUAUUUUGUCAUAACUAUGUUUGUUAUGAGAAAACUCAAUUACCUUUGUAUUCAAAUGUAUUAUUCAAUUUGUAAUAUAUUAUAGGCUUUGAUUGUUUUAUGCUAUAUAUAUGAAAUUUUUAAUAUUUACGGUUGUUGUCUAUUUUGACUAUCAAUUGGAUAAGUGAGUAGUAUAGAAUUAGUAAUAAAUUAUUAUUGUAAUUAUAAUUAAUUUUAUUAUUAAUUAAUAUAAAUAUAUUCUAUUAUUCUCAAUUAAGCAUAAAUUCUUGAUAUUUAAUUAAUGUUAAUUUAAUGAACAAUUUUACCAAUAAUUUAAAAUAUCAUUAUAUGUGAUUGUUUAGUAACAUUUGAUUAUUAUUGGCUAUGAUUAUACUAAUUAAUUAAAAAUUAAUAAUAAUUUAAUAUAAAUAGUAUCAAAAAGCUAUAAUUAAAGCAAUUAUUAAUGAAAUAUUUUAUUUAAUUUAAAAAAUAAUAACUAUAUUAAUAUAAGAAAUAAUUAAAUAAUAUGUACCAUCAUUUAGCAAAUAUUUUUUUAAUUUUUCAGAUAGCAACAUUUGUCAAAUGUUGCUAAUUCCUCAGCAUCAGCAAUACUUUCCAUAUAUGUUGCUAAAAGAUUCAACAACACGGGCAUAGGCAACACUAAAGUUUAAGUGUUGCUAAAAGAUUUAGUUUCAUUUCUUGUUUGUUUAGUAACAUUUAUAAAUGCCACUAAAUUUAAAUUUUCUUGUAGUGGCUCAUCGUGGAGAGCGGUGCCGCGGAUUUGCAGAAGUGUUCAGAGGGCUUGGAUAAGGGUAAGGGCAAAAGAACUGCGGCUGAGGGUGCGAGUCAGGCGCACUCAGGGAGGCCGCCGAGACACCCCAGGAGCCGGAGCAAGUCGUGAGGACGUGACUCAUCUGCAUAGCAUAGAGGAUAUGAUCGUCGCCGGGCUCCACACUACCACUACAAGAAAAAGCCUUUUUAGUGACCAAUUUUAGAUGACCAUUUUUUAAGUGGUUACUAAAAAUGCAAAAAAAUAUAAAUCAACUUUCAGAUGGGCUAAAAGAGCCAAAUUUUUACCGACCAAACGUUAUUUGGUCGCCUUAAUUUUGAUUUGGCCCGUCGCAAAAAGCCCAAAGGCGCGAUGCUACAGGAAAGGCGCUACAUUUUUCAUUUCGCGCUACUUUUUUUCACCUACCCCUUCUCUUUCUCCAGAGGGUUUUUCUCAACCUCUCCAUCUUCUCCCUCCCCUCUACCACCACUCUCUCAACCUGGCCAUCUUUUCCCUCCCCUCUCCCACCACUCCCUCUUUCCUCACCCUACAAUCCGAAGCAACUCAUCAACAUCAGACCCCAGUGUGCUGUAUUUGGGCCUGAAACUAAGCAACGUGUUGCAUUAGGUCUUCGAUUCGAGCGAUUAAAGCUUAACCUUUGGCGGAGCUUGUGGUUGGCGGAGCUUGUGGUUCAACGCUUCUUCUCGACCUCGAGUUACUAUCAGGUAGAUAACUUCUAGGUUUUUUUUCUUCUUUUUUAUGAUCUUAGUGAAAACCCAACUUGUUAGGGUUAGUGAAAAAUUAAACUUCAAUACUCUAGAUUUACGACGUUUUUUUUUUCCCCCCCCUCUCUUAUCUCUGUUAGUUUUUUUGUUUGGUUGGUGGAGGGUUUAGGGUUUAGUUGGUAGGGUUAUGUUCCAUUAACAUUCUUGCUCCAAGUUAAGUAUCAAUUAGUAAAGGNAAAAAUUUAAAAUUUAAAAUUGAGUGCACUUCAAAAUAUAAAACUAAUUUUUGAAUUGUUUCAAAUUCAAACUUAGAAUUAAAUUUAAAUUUAAAUUUAUAGAUCAAAUUCAAAAUACUUGAUUGAAUUUAUAAUUUAAUUUAAUUUAAUUUGUAAAUAAAAAUCUAGAAUUAAAAUUUUAAUUUCUAAUUUUAAAUUUAUCUUUUAAUAAAAAUUAAAAUAAAAAAAAUUAAUUUAAUUUUAAGUAAAAAAUAUAAAAUAUUAUUGAGAUAUUCUCAUAAAGUAUAUUCUUUUUACUGGAUUUAACUUUUAAUCCGGCCCGCUAGGCCGGAUUGGAAAAAUUGGUGAAUGGGAGAUUCCUAUUCACCCAAAAAUCGGAAUAGGACUCCCGCAUAUCAAACAUUCCGUAAAUGGAUUCAUCUAUUUCGAUUCUGAUUUCUGGGUGAAAGAAGGGCGAACCAAACAUGCCCCAAAAUAGCCCUAGCAUAGAAGAUCAAAUUUACCAUAUUUUGCGCAAUUUAGUUUGUAAGAUUUCUUUUGUAAACAUUACCAUAAUAUAUAUUGUAAAAUUUAUAAUGUGCUGCACGUUUUGAUCCUCUCAAACUAUGGAACAUGUGAUAUUUUAGUUCUCAAACUUUAAUUUUUUGCAAUUUCUGGCUCAAACUUUUCGAUUUAUUGUUAUCAAGUCCCACAUCUAAUAUAGUUGUCUAAUUUUAAUAUGGAGAGUGGGCUGACAAGGCUAGGGCUGGCAAACGAGCGAGCUGGCUCGCGUUCGACUCGUGUUCGGCUCGAUAUUCGGCUCGCUCAAGCUCGACUCGAAAUUAAAUGAGCCGAGCUUGAACAAAAUAAAAGGCUCGAAAUUCAUUUCAAGCCGAGCUUGAGUAUUACUCGGCUCGUUCGAAUUAGGCUCGAAAAGCUCGAAAAGCUCGAAUAUAUAUAUAUAUAUAAUAUAUAUAUAAUUAUAGUAUAUAAUAUAAUGUAUUUUAAUUAUAUAUAAGUUUUAAUUUUAACCUUUGGAGCCAUUAUUGUGGCCCCCAUAAAAUAAACGCCCAACAAUUACAACCUGGCAAUUGUAACCAACUCUAAAUUUACAUAACAACUCCUCCUCUUUCAAGACCUUUCAGCCUGUUUGGCACAUACCCUAAAACAUGACAACAUUCCAAUCAAAAAUCCUAAUUUUCCCUCUCAACCCUCUCUCCUCCCUCUCCGUCUUCUCUCUCCUCUCCUCCCCACAGUCCACGCCUAGCUCAAAGCAUCCUUCCUUAUAAUUACAUUUGUACUUUUGAACUAAUUGAACAUGUUUGCAUCAAAUUAUAGGUAUUCUAUAAAAUUAAAACCUAUUGAUUAUAUAAUGUCGAGAAUUUUCAAUAUCCCGGUCGUUUAGAGCUCCGAGCGCUCCGGGUCAAACUCGAAAUUCAGGCUUGCUCCCCGAGCUCGCUCCAAUUAAUUUCAAGCCCGAGCUUGAGCUAGAUUUAGGCUCGAAAUUAAAUUUAAGCCGAAUUUGAGCUACAUAAGCCCCCCGCUCCGAGGCUCCCGGCUCGUUUCCACCCCUAAGAUAAGCCCGGCUUUGCCCCAGACCAAGCCAGGCUUGCACCGUGUGUCGUAGGCUAGCUGGCCCAGCAGCCCGGCCCCGAGGGCCUAGCCGCACGCUUGUGGGGGUUGCUGGGAACUGGCCCUGGCCUCGAACCUAAUGCGUGGCCGUUUGGAGCUACAUAAAUUAAUCCAGCUUGUUGAUUAUCUUACUAAUUUCUAUUUUUCUAUUACAUUACAAUUAUACUGGUAAGUGACAUCUACUUACAUGUCUUGUUUGUGGCAUAUUCUGGGCUUAUUGGAAUUUUUGUAACAAUAUAUGAUUAAAGCACUCCAUGUUACUUGCAGGGACGGAGCUAUUGACGUGGAGAGCCCCAACAACAAAGCCCUACCUGAACAUUUUUUAAUAUAAAGUCUUUAAAAAAUAAUAUAACAAGAGAGGAGAGGUACAUAAUUUUUUAAUAAAAUUUGGUGUCAAAUUUUCCUAAUUUCUUGGUGCUCCCUUCAAUCUUACCGUACUUGUUUUUUUGAGCAUCUUAAAAUUUUCAUACUACCCGAACAACACAACAAAAUCUAAAUUUUGACACACACACACCACGAAAAAUUCUGCGUUCGUCUUGAACAUAUAUCAUUUAUUUGCCAUCUUAUUAAUAAAAAACUUAUUUACAAAAAUGGUCCGGCAUAAGCAUUCCCAAUAUACACACAACAACAUAAGGCAUACAAUAUAAAUUAUUUGAGGGCCUGUAAAAGAAAGUGUAAAUAUUGCUGACCAAUUUUUUUUUCUAAAAAUACACUUUGUUAUGAGUAUAAAGUAAAAUAUUUCUAGUGAAUUGUGAUAUCAAUAAUUUGAUUUUCUGUAUGGAAUUGGCAUAAAAGUUUCAUGUCGGUGUAGCUCCUGAUAGAAUCUCCCAAAGGUAUGUAAAAAUAAAUAGAGAAAUAUAAAUAAUACCAAAAUCUAGGAUCAAAAAAAAAAAAAAAAUACGAUAACUCCACAGAGCGUCAUAAGAGAAGAGAUUUCUUAUUAAUCUACGCGGAAGCUGGAAGUCGCGCUACGAUCUGAAAGCAGAACCCCGAACUUGGGUGAUUGUCUCCUCUAGUCUCAGGCACCUCUGCCGUAAUGGUGUCGCCGAACCGAUGGUGAAUCUUCACCAGAAUGCGUAUGAGAAGGUGGCAAACCCCAUAACCCCUUUAUAUAAGUCCAGAUCGACUUCCCAUCAAAGUCUGAUUAGGAUUCUAUUUAAACUUUGAAAUAGAUGGAUAGGAAUACAAAAUUAUGUCAUAAUCCACGUGGUUCUAUAUCUUGCUUAGGAUUGAUCUUUAAUCUAUAGUAAUAUCCAGAUUCCUGAAUAUAAUAAUUGGGCCACCAAUAUAUGGAAAUCCUAACAAUCUGCCCACCCUUGGCUCCAUAUUAUUAUAUUCUAUGAACGGAUUUUUCUAUGGCUCCAACACUUAUUACGGCAUUUAUUCGGAAAGCUUUAUUGGUCAAAAUACCUUAGAACUCCACUUGAUCUUAGGCUCAAAACUAAAAACUACAUACGAUAGGAACUAUGGGCGGUCCACCUCAACAAACGAAAUUUUCCUCCAUAAUUACCGUACACAUCUUCACCCCCUAGCCGAGUACUUUAUAUGGCACAACUUUAUGAAAUGACUUAAAACUGUAGUAUUCGUUAAUAGGCCGAAGCUUAUGGCGCUAUUAAUGUCCAAUACAGCACUGGGCAUUAAACUUUAUUGAAAAAAGAUAUAUAGAGCCUUACAAUUUUAUGACAAUCCAAAAGAACUAAUCACGAACCCCAUCCAUUUUUAACACCACAUCUUGUAUAUGACCCAGGUGCCGCACCUUGGUCAUUGGGUUUUGCAAUCAAUAACUUCGGUAGCUGAAAUAUUCAAUGUAACAUAACCUUCAUCAUAUCUUCCUCUCUCAAUAACAAGGAAUAUUUGGUGUCCAAGGUGUUUAUCACCCCUACUAAAUCUUGUUGUUAUUGCAAAGGAAAAUCGGGCAGCUGAAACUAUCACAGAAAAAAUCUUUUAUUGGAUAGCACACUGAAAGUCCACCAAUUCUUAAGUCUGUGAUAAAAUUCCCUAAGCCAAAAAACCCUUGUGUGGUAUCGUAACAUGGGCAAUAUAAUCCAAAUUCACCUUUUAAAUACCUCAUAAACCUUUUAGCGGCCUUUCCCCAAUGCUCCAUACCUGGAAUUAUACUUUGAUACCCUGGCGCAAGUAAUUCCAAUACAAAAGCAAUGAUCCCGGAACGUGUGCACGUCCUGUCCAUGCACAUAAGACUACCAAGCUGCAGAGGCAUAGGUUAUGCUUUCAUCUGUCAAUUUUUAAUUGGUUCUUGGACCACUGAAAAGAAUGUAAAGCUUAUCCCCUUCUGGACAGGAGCAAUACUUCAGGCUUAAUAUGGCAAUAGCCCAAGAUCAUUACGGCCAAGGCAAAAUAUCAUCCAACAUAAAGGACUAAGAAAAUUAUUUUAACUCCCAACUAAUCUUUAGAUAAAUAACAUUGAUCCAAUCAAUAUUUUCCCUUAAAAUCAAAGGUCAAAAUAGUUUGUUUAAAAUUUUAAAUACCAUACCUGUCGGGAGGCUGUUUUAGUCCCAUAUAUUGAUUUCUUUAAUUUGCAUGCCAAAUGCUCCUUCCUUUUUGCGAGAAUCCCUUAAAGGUUGAUUCAUAUACACCUCUUAUAGAGAUCCCCAUUUAAAAAAGCAGUUUUGACAUCCAUCUGGUGUAGCUCGAGAUCAAAAUGAGCAACCAGAGCCAUAAUAAUACGGAAAGAUUCCUUUCUAGAUACUGGAGAGAAAGUCUCUUUAUAGUCAAUACCUUCUUUCUGAGUGAACCCUUUUGCCACAAGUCGGGCCUUAUAUCUCUCUAUGUUACCUUUGGAGUCCCAUUUGAUUUUAUAAACCCACUUGCAUCUUACGGGUUUAACUCCUAUAGGUAACUCAAUAAGAUCCCAUACCUUAUUGUGGUUCAUGGAUUCAAUCUCAUCCUUUAUGGCAUUGUACCAUUCCGUAUAAUUAUUACUAUUUAUGGCUUUGGAAAAACUAAGAGGAUCAUCUAAACUCUGGCCAUUCUCAUAAAGAUAAACGAUAUAAUCAUUGGAUAUAGCCGGUCUUCUCUGUCUUGAGGAUCUUCUUAAAUAUAUCUGAUUAUCCACUUGUACAUCUUGAUGUGAAUUAUCAAUGAUAGGUUCACAAUCACUUUGUGGUCCCAAAACGACUUGUUGUUCUACUGAAAUAGGAACCCUCAAAUCGUGAGAGAUAAUAGUGGGUCUGUCAUGUACAGAAUCCGAAUGCUCUUGAAUUUCCUCAAAUUUAAUGAAUCGAGGUUCAGAGCUCCCACUAAUUGCACUAUCCUCAAUAAACCGAGCUGUUUUAGUUUCUGCAAUCUUUAUAGGAAGUGAUGGACAGUAAAACUUAUACCCUUUGGACCUUUCUGAAUAACCAAUAAAAUAUCCUGAUAUGGUUCGAGGAUCCAGUUUCUUUAUUUGUGGAUCAUACAAUUUGGCCUCAGCUUGACAACCCCAUGUAUGAAAAUGUCUUAAACUGGGUUUCCUACCUGUCCAAAGCUCAAAAGGAGUCUUAGUGACAGCCUUAGUAGGAACCCGAUUAAGAAUAUAUAGGGCAGUUUUGAGUGCCUCACUCCACAAUGAUAUAGGAAGGGUAGAAUUACUGAUCAUACUCCUGAGCAUAUCAAUUAAUGUGCGGUUUCUUCUUUCAGCAACACCAUUCUGAUCAGGUGUCCCUGGCAUGGUGUACUGUGGAACAAUUCCGCACUGCUCCAGAAACUUAGCAAAAGGCCCAGGGAUUUGGCCUUUAUCUGUUUGUCUACCAAAAUAUUCACCACCCCUAUCUGAUCUGACUACUUUUAUCCUUUUCUCGAGUUGAUUCUCUACUUCAGCCUUAUAUGCCUUAAAGGCAUCUAAUGCUUCAGAUUUUUCUUUAAGUAAGUAGAGAUAGCCAUAUCGAGAGUAGUCAUCAGUAAAUGUGAUAAAAUAUUUAUGGCCAGUAAUUGAAAUAGGAAGAGGUCCGCAUAUAUCGGUAUGAAUCAACUCUAAUGUUCCAUCACAUCUUUUAGCACCUUUAGAGGAAGUUUUGGUCUGCUUUCCCUUUAUGCAGUCCACACAUAUUCCAAAGUCAGAGAAGUCCAAAUCAUCUAAAAUGCCUUCUCUAAUUAACCUUUGGAUUCUCUGUUUCGAGAUGUGUCCUAACCUCUUAUGCCAUAACAUGGAUGACCUUUCAUUAUUAAUGCCACGUUUUGAUCCAACAUUUCCGUGCAUGGUAAGAAGGAUUUCACUAAAUGAAUCAUCUAAAAAUACUUUAUAUAGAUUAUUUUCCAAAACACCAGAGCCAACUAUCUGAGAUUUAUAAGAUAAAGAAAAAACUUUAUUAUUAAAACUGAAACUAUAUCCCAAUCCAACAAGUUUCGAAAUAGAAAUUAAAUUCUUAGAAAAAUUUGGAACAUAAAAUGUAUCAACUAAAUCCAAAAUGUGACCAGUAGAAAGAACUAAUCUAAAUGUUCCUACAAAUUCUACUUUAGUUGGAUUUCCUUCAGCUGUAUAGAUAGUCGCUUCAUCUUUACUGGGUUUUCUCCGAUUCUGAAAUCCCUGCACGGAAUUCGCCACGUGGCAUGUGGCACCAGAGUCAAUCCACCAAGUAUUAGACGGAACUGAAACUAAAUGCAACUCAUGCAUCAAAACCAGAAAUUUACCUUUCUUCUGGAGCCAUUUCUGAUAUUUUUGGCAGUCCUUCUUUAUAUGACCCUUUUUCUUACAAAAGAAGCACUUGGGAGUCCAAUUACUUGAUUGGCCUUGUGAACCAGAUGGAACUUCCUUAUUCUUUCUUUUUGAGUCAUUCUUGCCCUUGCCAUUCUUAGCACGCUUUAUUUGUCUCUUCUGAGAAACAAAGUUGACUGCAUUUUGUUUCUCUUGUAUUAAUCUGCCUUCCUCUUGCACACACAUGGUCAGCAAUUCAUUAAUUGACCAUUUAUCUUUAUGUGUGUUAUAAGAGAUCUGAAAUGGUCCGUAUUCAGAUGGUAAAGAGUUCAAAAUAAAAUACACUAAGAAUGAAUCAGAGAUGGUUACUUCAAGUGCGGUGAGUUGCGCUGCAAUAUCUCGCAUUUCCAUAAUAUGCUCGCGAAUCGAGCCAUUUCCGGAGUACUUCAUGGAAGACAGUUUAUUUAUUAAGGUGCUGACAAAUUGCUCCUCAAUAGCCUUCAGAUAAUCCUUGGCUUUAUCACAUUUUGGGAUUGAUCCCCUUAUGCUUUUGAUACCCUUGACUUUAUGAGCAUCAAACUUAAGCGGUUGGAUCGCUCCCACUUUUCCUGCGCGGAUUCCUGCUGUGGAGUCAUUGGCCCCACUACCUUAGGCGGCUGUUCAGCGCGCAGAGCCAAAUUUAAAUUCAUAUAGCCCAAAAUAAACAUGAUCUGUUCUUUCCACUCCGAAUAAUUAAACCAUUAAGUAUAGGAACAGAUUCACCAAUAGGAACAGAAAAUAGAGUCAUAGCUGAAAAAUAAAAUGCAUAUUUUAUCAAUAAAAUACCACAUUAAAAUUACCACACCAAAAAUAAAAAAAAAAAUACGCUUUAUAUGGCAUCACAACCCCUCCUUUGGGAGCAGAAUUAUGAGCAUAAGUAUUUUUCGUUCUUUAGGCAUAUACUUUAUAUGACAUCAUAACCCCUCCUUUGGGAGCAGAGUUAUGAGCAUAAAUACGCAAUUAUUCCUUAUGCAUAUACUUUAUAUGACAUCACAACCCCUCCUUUGGAAGCAGAGUUAUGAGCAUAAAUAUGCAAUCUCUUUAUCAGAGAUUAAUUUAAACUUUCAGUAGGUCUUAGUAAUUUCAAAUUUUUCAUAUAGAAAAAUUGUCAGCUUUGGCCAGGCAAAUUCCUCCAAACGAAUUAUAAGAAAAUUACAAUCCUGCACCACCCAUGUACCUUCAUAUCUAGACCUUCUUUGGGAGCAGACUAAACAUAAUAUUAGGGUGCAAUUUCGCAUGCACUUCUUUAAAGCAAUUAAUUUAUCUUUUCUCCCGGUCGGGGCCGCUUUGGCUUGCACCCGAACAGUUGAAGCAAUAAAUUAAUCUAACUUAGUGCUGCAUGAUUAACAUGAAAAUUAUCCGGAAACGCUACUUUAAAGUAAAUUAAAUCAUUAUCUCUUUUAAUUAGGGUCACUUUGGCUUGCACCUAAUUAAUCGAAAUAAUAAAUUAAUUGAACUUAGCGCCAAAUAUUAAAUAAUUGAAAACAAAUAUGAUUAUUUAAUUUUCAUGUUCAUCCGAUCAAAUAAGAAUAUAGAUACGAUAAUUUAAAGCAUAAUUACGCAAUCAAAUUUAAACUUUAUAUAUUCUUAUUUGACCACAAAACAUAAUUAACUUUAUAAUAAGUCAACAUUGUAAACAAAAAUUCACGUGAACAAAACUUUAUACUCACAGCAUCACGGGUCAAAAAUUACUUAAUGAUGAAUAACAAAUAACAAAUUUGCAAAAAUAUUAAAAGAACAACUAUGACCAGUAAUUUGCAAAUUGGUUCAUUAAUAAGUUCUCUGCGCAAACAACGGGAUACCAGGGAUGCUAACCGAAGUUGGAAACUAAACUAACCAAGGUUAGUACAUAUAACCCCAAUAAAUAAGCUACUGUUCAUCUUUAUCCCCAAAUUAAAUAAACCUUAGAUCCAUAAAAGAAAAAAAAAUGGUGCUCAACCAAAUAAAGACUUGCCGACCCUAUGGCUUCCUAUCAACGCUAAUCGCACCACCGUGCUAAUCCAGAUCGACGGUCACGAUAAUUGGGAUCAUCGUCACACACGGUGGAGACUCGGGUCGACGUCAAUGCCGCUGAGAUUUGAGUCUCGGUCCAUGUUGCAAUCCGAAUCAUGAUCCAUGCGAUCAUAAAUUAUUUGGCGUUUAGCAAUCUUUAUAAGCCAUGCGAUCGGAACGCCUUGAAUCCGAUAGUAUUAGGGUCGGCGUCCAACCGGGUGAAAGAUGAACAGUAUUUUAAUUUAUUUUAAAAAAUCGACCCAGUAUAAACAACGCUCACGUUAAAAACUUAAUAAUUAACAAUAAAACCUUGCUCUGAUACCAAUUGAUAGAAUCUCAAGGUAUGUAAAAUAAAUAGAAAAUAAAUACAGAUCAAAAUCUAGGAUCAAAAUAAAAAAAAAAUUACAAUAACUCACAGAGCGUCAUAGAGAAGAGAUUCUUGAUUAAUCUUGCGGAAGCUGGAAGUCCGGCUACGAUCUGAAAGUCACGAACCGAACUUGGGUGAUUUGGUUUCUCCCCCUAUCUCAGGCACUCUGCCGUAUGGUAUGGAACCGAUGGUAAUUCUUCACCAGAAUGCGUAUGAGAAGGUGGCAGGACCAAUACCCCUUUAUAUAGAGUCCAGAUCGACUUCCCAUCAAAGUCUGAUUAGGAUUCUAUUUAAACUUUGAAAUAGAUGGGAUAAGGAUAAAAUAUGUCAUAUCAAGUGGUUCUAUAUCUGUUAGGAUUGACCUUUAUCUAUAGUAAAUCCAGAUUUGAAUAUAAUUAAUUGUACCACAAUAUAUGGAAAUCCUAACAGUUCCUUCCCCAAAAAAAUUAAUUAAAUAUGUUCCUUAAAAUCGAUCAGUUCCUAAUUGGUAAGAAAAAUUAAUAGGAUUGAGUAUUUGAUCCUCAUAAUUACGAGCUUAGACAAAUUCUCGAUCCUAUUGUUAGGCAAUGGAAUUUCAAUCCUGUUAAUCUUUGAUUGAGAUUAAUAUUUGUGUCUAAUGUCCAUAUCUGCAUUUGAAUGUUGUGAGAUGGCCUCUAAAAAUGUUCAAGCUGUUUGACUAAGGAGACAUCGAGCACCAAUCACCAAACCCUUUGCCACUUACGCUAGUUCCUAUUAGUUAUGUAUAUUUUAAUUUUUUAAAUUUUAAGUCUUCUAUUUUAAAAUUUUAAAAUUUUAAAUUUAGAUACUAAAUUUAAAUUUUUAAUUUUCAAAUAUCAAAUUUUAAGUUUCAAAAUUAAUAGUUUUAAAUUUAAAAUUUGAAAUUUAAAAUGAAUUUAAAAAUUUAAAAUUUAAAAAUUUAAAAUUAAAAAUACAAAUUUUAGAAUUUAAAAUUUAAAAUUUAAAAAAUUUAAAUUAUAAGUUUAAUUUUUAAAAUUAUAUAUUUCGAAUUUUAAACUUUAAUUUUAAAAUUUCACAUAAGUUUUAACUAUUUUACAGUUUUUAGCGAAUCUUUUUCUCCUUUUUUUUUUUUGAGAGAGAUUUAGUAAAUCUUUUUCUGUUCCUGAUUCACCAUUUGUUACUUGUCUUUGGCUUCAAAGGCCAUACUUGCUGUGCAUCCUGGUUUACUAUAUGGUGCGAUUUGUUUGACGCCGACAAUAUGAUAUAGCUAUUAUAUACUAGACUUCCACCUUAAGUGCGUAGAUCCGACGUAUUGACGAGAGGAUAGAACUAAUGUUGACAAUUCCAUCUAAUCCAACAAAUCUGCUCACUUGAGAUUAAUUCUGAUUUGAAUGUCCGAAUUCAUUUUGAUUUGAGCACACGUCCAGCUUCUGCUCGUGGCCGCCCAUGCUUUUUUUUUUUUUUUAACUUUCCAACCCACUAACCAAUGUUUUGUUUUUAUUUUUUGAAAGAAAGAUAGCAUGCUGUUUGUUUCAUUUAUUAUUUUAAAAAUAAAUUUAACUGAAAAUGUUAAUCAAUUCGGAUUCGAACAUGGAAUCGCGAAUACCAACCAGCAAGCUCUCUGCUAAUUGCGAUAAUUAUAAGGACGGUCAGUCCCACUGACCAACAUCAAUCUCUCAUGUUUAAUUCUCUCUUUCUCUCAUAUUUUUCUCUAACGUCUCCUUUUGCAAGUCACAAAUUGAAAUUCCAGAUUAAAACUUACAAAAUUAAACUAAAACUCCACAUCAAAAGUUCCAAAUUAAAUUUUAUAUUAAAAAAAUUCAAACUUUGAAAUUCAAAUUUUAAAUUUAAAUAUAAUUUCUGAAUUGAAAUUUUAAAUUCAAUCACUGAUUUUGAAAACGAGCCAUAAAUUUACAUUUUAAGUUACAACUCAAAUAUAGAUAUUCUAAUUUAAAUUCGAAUGGAAUUUAUAAGUUUGUUUUGAUCGAACUUGAAACCAAAUUCUAAAUUUGUGACUUCAAACAAUUUUUUUAGACGAAUCUAAAAUUUUAAGAAAUUCAGCUUUAAAAGUGCAAUUUAAAUUUAAAUUAUCAGUUCAAUUUUAGUUUCUAAAAUACUAAAUCAACUUAUUUUGAAUAACUAUUUAUUAAUAAAUUUUAAAAAGUGAAUUCAAUUUCACAUUUAAGAAGUUUCAUUUAAUUGGUAAAUUAUCCUUUAUUAGUGUUGGAAAUAAUAAUCCAAACUUAAUUAAAAUAUAGUUAUAGAUAAGUUUAAAUCUUUUAUUUGAAUAUGGUUAGGAUAUGUACUUAUCCAAAGUAAACGUUGGAUUUAUCAUUUGUUAUUAUUUGAUGGCUAUAUAUAGUUAGGCAUGGGUUAAUUAGAAAAUAAGCCAUAAUAGAUAUGACCGAGGGUGUCGUCCCGGAUAUAAUUAUUUGCUUUCUAUUAAUAAAGUAUUAGUUUAGUUAUCUUCUUCUUCCAAUAUCUCUUCUCUAUAUUAUUUUGUUCUAUUUUAGAUCUUGGGUUAUAUAAUCGGUAUCAGCAUAAAUACCGGUUCCACUAAUUGGUAUCAGAGAAAAUCACGCUUCCCAACAAUUGGUAUCAGAGCCGAAGAAAGCCGGAAAGUAUCAUGCAACUUAUAAACCAGACGACAGUAUAUUUGAAAAGAAUAUAGAUCCAAUAUAUCGAAUAGCUACGUCAAAGUCAAGUGACUCGUAGUUGAUCAACGAAGGUGACGUUCAGGUGAAACCAAAGUGAAGGAAUCGCUUUGAAGAAGUUGGCCUCCGCACAACACACGACAACAGGUAGUUGUGACGCUUGACGAAAAGAGAGCAAGGAGAGCCCGUGAAGAGAUCCAAGAAGACUUGACCAGAUAGUCAGGAGGGCUAGGCAAGCAAGCCGAAGUACAAAAAAUUCGGCGAGAUCUCGAUGAACUAAGGACGUCAUCCAAACACAAAGGUAUAAAUCUGAAACUUAUUUUUCAGAUUUUCAAGUUUUGUCAUGGAUUUAGAUAAUUGGUUUAUUCAAUCUGGCUUACCAAAGUUCUAUGGAACGAACUUUAAACGAUAGAAAAUCAUUAUUCAAUGUUUUUUAGAAUCCUAAGAUUUGUGGGAUGUAGUGGAGAAUAGAAAUUAUGAAAAAGAAUUUGGUAAAGACGAAUUUAAAAAGAGAGACAGAGAAGUUCUAUCAUAUAUUUUUCAAGUAGUGGAUCUAUCGUUGGUUGGAAAAAUUUCAACGAUAAAGACGGCACGAGAAGCAUGGAGAAUGCUAUUGAAAAUUGGAGGAGAAGAUUUGCAAGAAGAGAAUGAAAUUUAAGAAGAAGAAGAAAUUCAACCAAACAGCUAAAAUACAGAAGCCCCAAUUUGGAAAAAAAAAUCUGAUCAAAAUCAUGAAGAAAAUCAGAUUCGUGAAGAAUAUGUUGAUGAUCCAAACAUUGCAACUCAGGCUGACGACAAAUUUCACAAUGAUAAUAUAAUUUCUACUGAUGAAGAAAUUAUGCAGCAAAGCAGGGAGGAAAUUUACCCUUAUUUUGAUGUGAUCGAAGAUGCAAAUCACAAAUUAAAUUUACGAAAGCAAAAAGCACAUGAAAAUUCACACGAGAUCAAUGUACCGAACAAACAUUUGUGUCGAUCAGACUUUCCUCGGCUACCACAAAAUUACAAAAUUCAUAUCAAUCCAAUUUUUGCAAAAUUAUAUGUUUUUCAAGAUAUUUGCAGCAAUCCGCAGAUCUUUAAGGAUGAUGUGAAUAAUCAAGACUACAGAUGGCAAAGAUUUCAACCAUGGCAACAUCAUUGGACAGGCGUCAUGUUGUACAACUCGAACACGACGACAACAACAGCGACAGAAAUUGCAAAAUCAAAGUGCGCGUUUCACGGAGUUCAAGAGCAGCUUGAAGAUGAAGUUUGGAUUAAGGGAGGAUGUUGGAAAUAAUAAUCCAAACUUAAUUAAAAUAUAGUUAUAGAUAAGUUUAAAUCUUUUAUUUGAAUAUGGUUAGGAUAUGUACUUAUCCAAAAUAAAAAUUGGAUUUAUCAUUUGUUAUGAUUUGAUGGCUAUAUAUAGUUAGGCAUGGAUUAAUUAGAAAAUAAGGCAUAAUAGAUAUGGCCGAGGGUGUCGUCCAGGAUGUAAUUAUUUGCUUUCUAUUAGUAAAUUAUUAGUUUAGUAAUCUUCUUCCUCCAAUAUCUUUUCUUCAUAUUAUUUUGUUCUAUUUUAGAUCUUGGGUUAUAUAAUCGGUAUCAGCAUAAAUACCGGUUCCAACAAUUGGUUUCAGAGAAAAUCAUGCUUCCCAACAAUUAGAUAUUCCAAACUGAGUUUUUAUCCUCGAAACACCAAACAUACUGAUUGGAUUAUAUAUUAAUUUGUCCAACCCAACCUUGCAUUAUUCCAGUCCUAUUCGAUUUUUUCCUAUUAUCCUGCUCAAUCCUAUUUGUUGUAUCAGAGACAAAUUAGUAUUUUAACUUUUGUUUUGGGUUCAUUUAACUACUCCUGAAAGCAUUUUAUUGCGAUUUUACGUGUGUGUCCUUGUGGGACUCGGAUGUGUUUUUUUUUUUUUUUUUUUUUUUUUUUUUUUUUUUUUUUUUUUUGGAAUNNNNNNUUUUUGCAAUUUUGAAACCAAAAGAAAAAGAAAAAAAAAGUUUACUAAUAAUUUUGUUUUUUAAAAAACAAAUUUAAUUUAUUUAAUAAAAAAUAUAAAAUAAUUAAAUUUUGAACUUAUAUUAUCAGAUACAUAAAUUUCGAACUUAUAAUAUCAGAUACAUACAACCAUCAAUUAUUUUUCACGUGCAAUGGACUGUCGGUCGGUCUGGGAAGCAAUCUUGAAUUCAUGAUCCACCAUAUUCAUGCAUACUUUCAAAAAUCCGUAUUGCCAGCUAAUAUGAUAGGUACAAAAGGUACGUAAUUGCAUGUACUAUAAGAUCAUUGAGCCUGAUCAGUUACAAUUUGGUCCCCACAUCAUUAGCUUCAAAUUGAGAACUUAAUCGUUCAAUAAUAGCAUUUUAUUUAGGUCCCUAACCUUAACUGUUGAAAAUAAUUUUCAUCAUCUUGUACGUCCUAUAUAUGUUCGCACACCGUCAUGAAUUCCAUCAAUCAUUCAUCUAACUGAAUAGUUUUAAUUUGACGAUUAAAGAAUUGUCAGUUCACAGAUAGUAGAGCUGUGUAAUGUGUGAUAGAAUAAAGAACUCAUAAAUGUAUAUAUAUAUAAUACUUUAAUAUAUAGAUACACUAAGAUUUUGUCGUUGGUUAUAAGUAUAACUGUGUUCAAUUAUCCUGUAUUUUUCGUAAUUGUCUUCUAUAUUUCCUAAAGUUGCCUCAUUCUCUUCUUCAUUAAUAACCAUACACUUUCCUUUAUCUAUUGAAUUGUGUUUGUCUUUCUAAUAAGGCAACUCUUGCUUCUAAGGCCAACACGUACUCUUUUUUCUAAGACAAUUAUUUGAGCAUAUGAGAAAUUUGUCAUAGCUAUAGAUUUGCUAAAGGUUAUUUUAAAUUUAGAUUCUACACACAUUAUAAAUGCUUCUAUAUGACAAUGUUUACACUUACACCUAACAUUCCUAUCUUGAUAUCCUUUACAAUAUAUACAAGGUCUACUAUCAAAGCCGCAUCCUACUUCCCAACUAUGGUUACAAUCUGUAUUCAUUAAACUGAUAUUAACAAAGUUUAAAUGAUCAUGUGACUCAAAUCGGACUAAGUUAUGCUCAUUUGAUAUAUAAGUUGUAAAGUCAUUUUCUUGAUCAUCUGAUGAAGAGUUUCCUUCAGGAAAAAGAACAAUUUAAAAUGCAUAUAGAUGAACUAUUAAAGUUAGAAGCAAUAAAAAGAUCCCAAUCAAAACAUAGAUCUGCCUCGUUCAUGCUAAUGAAAUACUCUGAAGUAGUAAGAGGAAAAAAUAGAAUGGUAAUAAAUUAUAAGCAUUUAAAUGACAACACAAACGAUAGAUGAUUAUAAUAUACAAGAUAAGGCACAAUUAACUAAUACCAUACAAGAUAAAAGAAUAUUUAGUAAGCUUGACUGUAAAUUUGGAUUCGGGCAAAUAAAACUGCACAAGGAAAGUAUAGAAUGAAUAGCCUUUUCAUAUCCAGAAGGGCAUUUUUAAUGGUUAGUAAUGCUUUUCGGAUUAAAAAAUGCACCAGCUGUCUUCCAAAGAAAAAUAGACAUAAUAUUUAGCCGAUAUAAAUAAUUUGACUUAGUAUAGUAUAUAUUGAUGAUAUUCUCGUUUUUAGUAAAGAUCUUAGAGAACACUUAGGACAUUUGUGACACCCCAAUAGUCCCACAUCGGAUGGGAAUGAGAUUGUCAUUGGGUUUAUAAGAGACUUAGACACUUAUAAUAAUAACUGGGCUUAAAUAUUUUGGUCCGGUGUUUGUGGUCAACGAGUUAUUGUUGCUAGUGUCAAAGCCAGUUCACCAGCCGAAAGUGUGAGAUGAUGUAAUAUCUGAUGUAAAAUUCAAAAUUUCCUAAUUUUCUCUAUUAUUAAAUUUUAUUAUUUCCGUCGGUUUCGCUUAGAGUCGGUUCCGCUCGCGUCCGUUCCACGCACGUCCGCGCCCGUUCCGCAUGCGAUCGAAGCUUCCAACGUUCCUCUUGAGCGUUGAUGUGACGUCCUCUUGUAUAUUUAAAUAGAGGUUGCACCUAGUGCUAAUUAACUUAACAAACAGUGAAAAAAAAAAGAAAAAAUAUUUGCCAGUAAUCUUGAAGCUAGAUUAUUUGAAGAUUGAAUUUUAAUUUUAUUUUGUGAUUCUUUUAUCGCCGGGUGUUGAAAGAGUCUUCAUCAACCUCUUCCGCGUUCGUGUCCGUAGGAGGAGGAAUUCCUGUCGUAUCUUGGGGCGGUGUUUCCGGUUAAUCCCGCACGAAGGACGGGAAUACGUCUUAGGGCAGUGCCUAGCACGCUUCUGGAUCAAUUUGUUGAUAUUCUUUUCUACAAUUUGAAUUUAGCGAUCACCUGUAUGUUGAUUUAUUUAUUUUAAUCACAAAUUUAGUUAGAUUUAAAUCACAAUCAGAUUUUCGUUGCGGCAUUUGUUCCAACAAUCUAAGGCGUAAUUUCGAUUUCAUUGUGAUUAAAAUCUAACCGGUGCUAAUCCGUAUUAAUUUAAUUUUAAUUUGAUAUGUAUAUAAUUUGUUUGUUAAUUUGUUUGUACGAUUGGUAUUCAAACAUAAAUUUUUCCGGAAUUAGCAAUUUAACCUGUAAAUGCAUAUUAUUUAAUUUAUUAUUUAAAUUACAAUUUAUUUGGUGGUUAUUUUUAUUUAUUUUAUUUUAUUUUUUUAAAAAAAUACUUUUUCUGUAUCUUCUUAAAAUAAAAAAAAGGAAAAAAAAAGAUAUUGCGUAUAAUUUCUGUUUGAAAUUUUUUUUGUCAUUUAAAGUUAAAUAUUAAUAUUUAAAUUGUAAAUUACAUAUGUUCAUAAUUUAAAUUGCAAACCAUCUUAUAUAUAAUUUCUUGCACUGUACUGCUGUUUAUUAAAAAAAAAUAAAAAAAAUAAAAAAAAUUCCAUGUAAUCUUUGUAUGCGCAUCCUUUAUUAUGUUUUCUCAAUUUGGUUUAUGUUAUGUAUAUCCUCUACGAUUCUUUGUAACAUUAUAGAAGAAAUGCAGUGGUUGUUCUUUCAAAUCCAAAUCACUUGCAGUGUACUGUGUCCUUUUUCAUCGUAUCCUUUUUUCUUUCCGUUCCUUUUUCCUUAUUAGCGAACGAAAGUUGUAAGAAAUGAGGGAACGGUUUAGUCGCUAGGAAAAAGGUAUUUUGUACUGUAUUCUUUUUUGCCACAUUGAAUGUUAAAUGUUAUGAUUUCUGGUAAUUGUGUAAUCCAAAAGAAAGCUGUUUGUAGAUGCUACCUGAGAAUGAAAAGCUUGGCAUUGUUUUGUAUCUUAAAUUUUUCGUCUUUUCUGUAAAUCCUUACAGAAUGGAGUUGGUUUUUCUGAAAUAUAAUUUUUGUGAACUCAUGUAAAGCUAUCGAACACUGCAAAGAAGUAAUUGCAUGAUGAAGCUUUUGCAUGCGUCCGCCGUAGAGGUGCAUGUUGUAACUGAGUGUUUAUAAAGAACGUGUUGAUAGGUGAGCUCCUGUUGGUAUAUUUUCAAAUUGGUGCCUAGCGAUUUUGCUCGCAUUUUGUUGCAUAGAUAUUAUUUAAUUGCAUAUAUUAUUUGCUCGAAAUUACCUAAUUGAAAUCAAAUUUUUUAAAUUGUUUAGAACAUCUAUUUGCUGUUGAAUCAAACUCUAUUCACAUGAUAACUUUCAUAAUUUUAAAUUUUAGUGUAUCUCAGAACUUGUGGGGGGAGCUCUAUUUUGAUAUUAUAAUUGCCAUUAUGAUUUCAUUUUGUUUAUCCUAAUGUUUAGCUUGUAAAUAAAAUUGAUAAAUUCUAAAGUUCACAUUUAUAUUAUAUCGAGAUAGAAAUAUGCUAGAUGGUUAAUUUUCUAUCACAUUAUUUAUUGAAGUUUUGUCAGAUUUGAUCAGAAUUUUGCAGAUUACUUGAUGAAAGGCCUGAAGAGAAUUAUGUUCCUGUUGUCAUCGAGGGGGAUGGGAUUUUGCCUGUAAAGGGCCUUCUUGCAGUGGGAACCCAACCUUUGUGAUAGGAGAUCCCUUGAAGAAGGUUCAAUGUGGUAAAAACAAGCUGCUAGGUUGGCCAAAGAGCACUUUCUACAAAUUUUAUAUAGGAGCUUUAGCUCCAAUCCCAUCUCUAUGGUGAGUAGUGCUCUGUGUAGUGGUUUAGGUUGAGCUGAGAGCUCUUAAUGGGAUCCAAGGCGAUAAUUUUCGCGAGAUGUAACUCUACACGCAUCCCUGGAGGAAACCACCAAUAGAAGAGUAUCCGUAUGUGGCCGCGGCUAUGUGAAUGGGCUAUACAUAGAAACUCUUAUGAAAAAUCAAGGUACUGUGCAUCGCCAUUAACGCAUAGACCCGCGACGAAGAAUUCUGUACUGUGUGUGUGAUAGUUGAAGUCAGGAUCAAAGAAACAUAGUUCAAGACCUGGUUCACUCCGAUUCCUUCUGAUGGAAACUAUUUACACUAAGUGAGGUUAAGUUUCUUAAAGACGCCUUACCUAUUGCAUAGUAUAAACCCCCGGUGAUAUAUUUAUUUAUUAAUUAAUUUUGUUUUCAAGUUUAAUUUUUAUUUUGAGAUUUUGAAUUUUUGUGGGAGAUUGUUGAUGUAAAAUUCAAAAUCCCUGAAUUUUCUCUAUUAUUAAAUUUUAUUAUUUCCGUCGGUUUCGCUCGAGUCGGUUCCGCUCGCGUCCGUUCCGCGCAGCCCACUGCUAGGAUUAUAUGCCAUUGAGAGUGGCGUGGCACUUCCCUGAGGUCCUUAGACCAACAUGGCCGACUCUAGAUUGGGUACUGUGGACUGAUCGUCCGGUUGACACUUGUUGAUGUAUAGUAGUGGUAGUUGCAUUUAUAUACCUUGUUUCCUCACUUUACUUUGCUACUACAUUGCUGUUCAUAGUUACUUUUUGGUUACCAGUGAGUACACUCGCCCUCGUCGGCUUGUGAUACCCACUGGGAGACCGUUUGUUGGUUUCUCACCCCCCCAUUUUAGGUGACGUUGGAGGUGCGAGUCAAGACAAGGCGUGAGGCACGCGCGUAGCGAGAGUAGAGAUCUCGGCUUGGUUAUCGUCAGUUCUAGAUUCAUUCCCCAUUCUAUUUGAAUUAUAGAUUAUUAAUUGUGGUUCAGUUUAUCAUAUUUAACUUGAAUUGGUUUUUAUUUCAUCUUGGUUAUGACUUUGAACAUUGAUUGAGAAUAAUCGUGGUUUUCGUUUGCUUUUAUGAAAAUGGUUUUCUACCUCUCGUGGUAACUGAUUUUUUGAAGGAAAAGGUUUCCGUGUGGAAAACGGUUUUAAAAAAAAAAAUAUUUUUCGCUUUUCAUGAUUCUAGUAUUUCAAAAUGAAUUUCCGGGUAGAAAACGUUUUAAAUAAUAGAUGUGAUUGAUUGAAUGUUAAUCGUGAUGUUGUGAUGCGGUGAAUGUAUAUAUAGUUAAUGAAUGUUUGUGGUUGUAUCUUGUACUUGCACGACAUCGAGCAAAUAUAGGGGAGACUCUGUCUAUGUGAACAGUGGAUUUUCUAUAUUUGAGGCGGAUUUAGCACCUCUGGAGUCAAGGUUUUCAAAACAAAAAAAGGGGCACUUUCGCUUUCUUUUUACUUAAAAAGUGACACCGGGGCAUGACAUAUUAAGGUGGUAUCAGAGCCAAGUUUAUAACCACGGCACCACUCACGGAUUUUUAAAAUAAUAAACUGAACCACUGGUUGGGUGGACCAUAGGAAGACCUAAGGUGUAUAGGCACGAGAGUGCAGGGUUUGGGCUUGAGUCCCGGUGUGUGUUUGUCGAGUCGAUUCGUUCAAUUGACGGUGUUUUCUGUUGAAGAUGCCUCGUGGCAGACCCCUUCAUCCCGAUCGUGGCGCUGGACGUGCUGGUGCGGAGGCAUCUGGCAGCUCGAGAGAGCUAGUCCUUACGGGCGGAGGUAUUGGGGAGCAGGUGGGCACUGAGCCGCUGGGCGACACUCGCACCUAGCAGCUCGAGGCCUAAGUAGCCGAUAUGAGGGGUUAGCCGACGGCCCUCUCAGGGUUGUUUCAGCAGUUCUUACAGCAGUAGGUUGCAAUUGCUGUCGCCCUGGUUCCACCUCCGGCGCAGGACACUCCGGCAACUGUGGAUCCUCCGACGACAUCCGUGUCUACCAUGGCUCUAGUUGUCACUACCACGACCACGACGGCCACCACGACGAUUUUCGCUAGGGGUACUGAAGCCCCUGCAGCGGAGGGCACCCGCAUUAGGGCAAGGUUUGCGGUGUUCCAAAAGAUCGAUCUGCCAAAGUUUGUGGGAAAGAAGGAUGGCGGUUAGGCAGUUGACCGUUGGGUUGCUUACAUGGAGAAGCUGUUCCGCGAUUUGCAUAUCCAGGAACAAGAUAAGGUUCCGUUGGCCGCUUACUGCCUGGAGGACGAGGCACACUUCUGGUGGUUGCACCUCUUCGAGAAGAAGUAUGUUGAGACGUGCCCGCCCUGGAGGGAGUUCCAAGAACUCCUCUACAGUCAGUAUUUCAAGGACGACACUAAGCAAGGCCUGGAGCACUAGCUGGAGCGGCUCAAGCAGGGCAACCGCACUGUGGCGGAGUACGAGCGAGACUUCUCUCGCGUUGCAGGGCUGAUCACUUUUGAGGUCCGCGAUGAGUACCACAAGGCUCGGAUGUUUGCUGGGGGCUGAAGCCCAACAUCCGAAUUUUGAUCACAUCCCACGCUGCGCUGAAGUUCGACGAGUGCCUGGAUCUGGCCCGGAUGAUCCAGAAUGAUAUGGAAGAGGCACGAAUCAAACGUGAUGCAUCCAAGAAGAACAGUGAUAAGAAUUGUCCCCACUCCAAUUCGAGCGGUGGCUUUUUCUCCAGUAAGAGGCCACCAAAACAUCCUCGUUCUCAGUAAUCAGCUUGGAGUGCACUAUUGGACAGCCAGCGACAGGGUGAUCGACCCUAUGUGAUCUGUGGGCAGGCUCAUCUGGUGACUGCUUACCCACAGCGGAGGGACCAUUGUUUCAGGUGUGGUCAGUCGGGCCACAUUUGAGCUGAUUGCCAAAGGAAGGUAGGACCACUCAAAGUGAUGUUUCUUCUCCAGCCGCACCGCGCCAUAACCGUGGAGCCUCGACUGCUGGUGCUUCGUCUGGGCACCCCUCUACCUCACGCUAGAACGAGAGGGCGCGCCAAGCACCUGGUAGGCGUGUCUACAACAUGUCCCACCCUGAGGGCGAGACAAGUGGCGACGUUGUUGCAGGUAUUACUACCUUCUACACCACUCGUGCUAGAACCAUUUUUGAUACUGGAGCAUCUUACUCAUUCAUUUUGCAUUCAUUUGCAUGUGAUCAUAGUUUUUCAUCGAGUCCACUCUCUUUGGCACUCCUGAUUGAGACGCCUAGAAUUAUUCUGGAAGCAAAUAGAUGCAUCAUGUCGUGCCCUAUUGUUUUGGGCGAUCGGGCGUUCCUAGCGAAUUUGGUGCCGAUCUCGAUUAAAGAGUUUUAUGUGGUACUUGGGAUGGACUGGCUCACCAGGCACCACACUUCUAUCGACUACAAGCGGAGGAUUGUGACAUUUGCGGCGCCCGGGGAAGAGGAGUUCGUCUACCAAGCAUGUAAGAGCUCUUUCUUCGCCAUGACUAUCUCUUCAGCUAGGGCAAAAAAGCUUAUGAAUGGUGGAUGCGUGGCCUAUCUAGCUUCCGUGGAUGCUAUCCGCCGAGCGGCACCUGCAUUGGAGGAGAUUCCGGUGGCUCAGGAGUUCCCUGACAUAUUUCCAGCAGAGCUACCGGGAAUGCCUCCAGACAAGGUGUCACGCCCCGGGACCCAGCGGGAGCCCGCCCGGCGCGUGCCCAGACCCGCCAUAUGUCUACAACAUAUAAGGCGUCUAAAAACAACAAUAAUAAUGGCAAUAAUAAAAGGCAUCUAGAAGUACCAGAGCAUAAUAAAUGUCUAAAUGCUACAACAAGGGAUAAGGAUAAAACAGUAAAUCCAUUAAAUAAAACUUAGNUCUGAUUUUGGAAUUUUGGGUGCCAAGUCCUACUCCAACAUCCUCGGGAUGCGUGCCAAGGGUCGGGACACUAUCAACGACCCUCCAAAAACUGUGGAAAGGCUCCACACACAGAUCAAACACUCGAAUCUUGCAAUUUGCUAAGAUCCAGUGCAUUACACAAGGAGAUCGAGUUCUUUAUUGAGUUGGUCCCUGGCACAACACCGAUCUCAAAGGCCCUCUACUGAAUGGCCUUCAUUGAGCUGAAGGAGCUGAAAGCUCAGCUCGAGGAUCUACUGGAUAAGAAAUUCAUCAGACCUAGUGUAUCUCCCUAGGGUGCACUAGUCCUCUUCGUCAAAAAGAAGGAUGGUAGUCUACGGCUACGCAUCGACUAUCAGGAGCUCAAUAAGGUCACUGUGAUGAAUAAGUAUCCUCUUCCUCAUAUCGAUGAUUUAUUUGACUAGCUUCAGGGAUUAUCUGUUUAUCGGAAGAUUGAUCUGCAAUUCGGUUAUCACCAACUAAAGAUCCGAGCCGAGGAUGUGUCGAAGACAGCUUUCCGAACUCGUUACGGCUACUACGAGUUCACAGUGAUGUAGUUUGGGCUCACUAAUGCCCCGACGGCCUUCAUGGAUAUGAUGAACAAGGUGUUUUGGCCAUUUUUGGGAUCAGUUUAUCGUGGUCUUCAUUGAUGACAUCUUGAUCUACUCGCGGAGCGACGAAGAAUGCGAGGAUCAUCUACAAUGAGUACUCCAGCUACUUCGAGAUAAUAAGCUUUAUGCUAAGCUCAAGAAGUGUGAGUUUUGACUCCACGAGGUAUUCUUCUUAGGGCACAUCGUGACUCAGUCGGCUAUCACGGUGGACCCGAAGAAGGUGGCUUCAGUGGUUGAGUGUCCUAGACCAACCACAAUGACAGAGAUCAUAAGUUUUCUUAGCUUGUCAGGUUAUUACUGGUGAUUUGUCAAAGGUUUUGGCAAAAUCGCCACACCGUUGAAUAGACUGACGAGGAAAGGGAAAAAGUUUUGGUGGACUCCUGAGUGCCAGUAGAGUUUUGAGGAGUUGAAGGACAGAUUGACCCAUACACCCAUUUUGACCUUAGCGCGACCGGGUGAGGUUUUCGUGGUCCAUUGCGACGUCUCACGGGUAGGUUUGGGGUAUGUGCUCAUACAAUAGGACCGGGUCAUUGCUUACGCUUCGCGCUAGCUAAAGGGCUAUGAGAGGAACUACCUGACUCACGACCUCGAGCUUGCGGCAAUAAUGUGUGCCCUUAAGCUGUGGAGGCACUACCUCUAUAGGGCACAUUGCAAGGUUUUCACUGAUCACCAGAGCCUAAAGUAUCUUUUCACCCAGAAAGAGAUGAACCUCAAACAAAGGCGAUGGCUCGAGCUCUUGUAGGACUACGACCUCUCUAUCUAGUAUCAUCCGGGAAAGGCGAAUAUAGUGGUUGACGUCUUGAGCGGGAGUAGUCAUCAGCUGAGUUGUCCUUUGUGAUUACGAGGCAAGAUCGUCUUGUGGAGGAGUUCCAUCGUCUCGAGAUAGAGGUUGUCCUCACUGGAUCCACGGCCCAAUUGAUGACCCUAGUGGUGCAGCCUGCAUUGACGGAGCAGAUUAUGCUUGGACAGCAGAGUAACCCCUACUUGUAGAAGGUGCGGGCAGAUGUUGAGCAGGGCAAAGAAUAGGACUUCUCCAUUCUUUCGGACGUAUCUCUUCAUUUCAGAGGCAGGUGGUGUGUGCCUAGUGAUGCGGAGCUGAGGAAAGACAUCUUGUCCGAGGCGCAUCGAUUCUCUUACACUGUUCAUCCUGGUGGAAUCAAGAUGUCUCGCGAUCGAAAGCAGAAUUUCUGGUGGCCGGGGAUGAAACUGGACGUGGCACAGCACGUGGCUCAGUGCUUGGUGUGUCAGCAGGUGAAGGCCGAGCACCAGCGAUAGGUAGGAAAGCUGCAACCACUUCCAGUACUAGUGUGGAAGUGGGAGUAGAUUACGAUGGAUUUCGUCACGAGACUGCCCCGAUCACAGCGGGGCCAUGAUGCGAUCUGGGUUGUAGUGGAUCGGUUAACAAAAUCGCGCAUUUUCUACCAGUGCAUACUACUUGGUCCUAAGAUCGACUGGCACAGCUGUACAUCGACGAGAUUGUUCAACUUCAUAGAGUGCCGGCGUCGAUCGUAUCAGAUGGGAUAGUCAUUUCAUAUCCCAGUAUUGGCGGAACUUGCAGCAGGCCAUGGGUACGAGGCUGAAUUUCAGUAUGACUUUCCAUCCCCAGAACGACAGUCAAUCGGAGCGAGUCAUGCAGACUCUUGAGGAUAUACUCCACGCGUGCGUCCUAGAUUAUGGUGAGGGAUGGUUCAAAUACCUGCCACUAAUGGAGUUCGCCUAUAACAACAACUAACAGGAAAGCAUCAGGAUGGCACCGUGCGAGGCUUUGUAUGGGCGUCGAUGUCGGUUUUCUAUCUAUUGGGAUGGCGUUCGAGAUCGCCGGGUGAUCGAGCCGAACUUGGUAGAUGAUAUGGAGACGAAAAUUCGCAUUGCUAGAGAGCAGCUUUUGACUGCACCGCGUCGACAGAGUUGCUACGCGGACCAGUGGCAGCAUGACCUGGAGUUUCAGGUUGGCAAGCAUAUAUUGCUCAAGAUAUCACCCUCCAGGGGGAUCAAGCGGUUCGAGUUGCGGAACAAGCUUAGUCCGUGGUUUGUUGGACUAUUUGAGAUUCGGGAGCGUGUUGGUUCGGUAGCAUACAGAUUGGCCCUUCCUCCGAGUCUUGCCCGGGUGCACAACAUUUUUCACAUGUCCAUACUUCGAAAGUACAUUCCAGAUCCAUCCCAUGUUAUCAGUCCGACGACAAUUCAGCUGCAGGAGAAUCUGAGUUAUAAGGUGGCUCCGAUGCGGAUAUUGGCACGUGAGGUGAAGCAACUAUGGAAUAGGAGCUUCUGUAUGUGAAAGUCUAGUGGGAAAAUCACAAGGAGAGUGAGGCAGCUUAGGAGCUUGAGUUUUCUAUGCGGGAGUGGUAUUCGCAGGUUACGGGAGAUGUAUGAUUAAGUUUCGACGACAAAACUUCUUAUAAGAAGGGGAUGAUGUAAUAUUUUAAAUCAAGGAAAUUAGAAAUUUGAAUUUGAACUUUGAUUUAAAUUGAAUUAUAUAUAUAGAGAGAGAAAGGGAGAGAGAGAGAGUUCGGCUGGGAUAUUAUCGAUAGCACUAAGGAUUUGGUGCUAUCAAGUUUUCCACCAUUAGAUUUAACCCUUUGAUUAUUUUUACUCGUUAGAUUAUAUUAUUCAACCAACCACUCACUCAAUCCUAGGGGGGCUCACAUCAUCGUAACCACAUAUUUCUCAAUCCAAGGGGUAAAAAACUAAUAGCACCAAUAGCUUGGUGCUAUUGAUAGUAUUCCAGCCUAAUUCUAUAUAUAUAUAUAUAUAUAUAUAUAGAGAGAGAGAGAGAGAGAGAGAGAGAGAGUCUGACUGGGAUACUAUCGAUAGAACCAAACAUUUGGUGCUAUCAAGUUUUAUGCCUUUAGAUUUAACACUCUGACUAUUUUUACCCGUUAGAUUAUACUAUUAAACCAAUAACUCACUCAACCCUACGGGUCCCACAUCAUCUUAACCGUAUAUUUUUUCAUCCAAGAGCUGAAAAGCUAAUAGCACUGAUAGCUUGGUGCUAUUAAUAGUAUUUUAGCCUAGUUUUAUAUAUAUAUAUAUAUAUAUAUAUAUAUAUAUAUAUAUAUAUAUAUAUAUAUGACGUGGCUACUAUACUAUUAUGAGUAUUGGAGCCCCCGUGCUCAUAAGUUGUUUUCGAUGAUGGAGCUUCUGAAUCGACGAUCCACUCCGUUAAAUAUGAUCUAGAGUAUUUGAAACUUCUAGAAAAUAAAUUUCGUAAAUUUUCGAAAUCAUAAUAAAGUCCAUCAAGCGGGCAUAAUAUAAACAGUCAAAAUUGAACGACGUCCUAAAAAAGGAUGAUCAGAUCCUUCAAUUCAAGAUCAGAGUUAUUGAUCUUUAUCUAGGUAGUGAAUAGAAUUUUCUAUCAAAAAUUCAAUAAAUUCCGAUUCUUUUACACCGUUAAACUAGCAAGUAUCCCAUACCGGCCAUUAAAAAUGACCAAAUUUGUGACCUCUUGAUCGUAAGGAAAAUGAUGUCAAAAAAUUAUAAAUUUUGAUUUCUAGAAGUUUUAAAUGCUGUAAAUAACGUUUAACGGUAUGGAUCGUCGAUUCGGAAGCUCUAUCAUCGAAAACGAUUUAUGAGUAUGAGAGCGAUCGUACUCAUAAUAGUAUAGUAGCCGGACUCUAUAUAUAUAUAUAUAUAUAUAUAUAGAGUGGAGCUAGAAUACUUUUACAAGUAUUACCUGGGUGGUGCUUUAGUGUUUUUAGUCCUUGGAUGGAGAGAUGUGAGGUUGAGAUGAUGGUGGUAGGUGGUGGUAGGUGGUGGUAGGUAGAAUAGUGUUUGAUCCAAGGACUAUUAGUAAUUAGGAAGUAGAUCCAAUGGCUAAAAACCUAAUAGCACCAUGGGGGUGAUACUUGUAAAAGUAUCCUAGCUCAACUCUCUCUCUCUAUAUAUAUAUAUAGAGAGAGAGAGAGCUAGGCUACUAUACUAUCGGUACCACGGAGGGCUCUGUGCUACCAAGUUGUUUUCGAUGAUGCGGCUUCCAAAUCGACGAUCAGCUCCGUUAGACCUGAUCUACACUAUUAAAAAUAUUUAGAAACUAAAUUUCAUAAUUUUUCAAUAUCAUUUACCUAUCAAACAAGUAGUCUAAAAUUGAACAGCUGAAAAUAAAAAUCUCAUAAAAAAUGAUGAUAAAAAGAAUUAAAUUCAAGAUCAUAUAUACUUAUCUUACUCUAAAUAGUGAAAAGAAUUUUCUAUAAAAUUUUCAUCGGAUUUGGAUUGUUUUACAACGUUAAACUCUCAAACACACCACAUCGGCCAUUAAAAUUGUCAAUUUUGAGAUAUUUUGAUCACUAGUCAAAUGAUGUCGAGAAAAAUCUAAAAUUUAGUUUCCAAAUACUUUCAAUAUACUUUCAAUAGUGUAGAUCAACUCUAACAGAGCCAAUCGUUGAUUUGGAAGCCACAUCAUCGAAAACCACUUGGUAGCACGGAAGCCUCCGUGCUAUCGAUAGCAUAGCAGCCGGACUCUCUCUCAGAGAGUCCAGCUGUUAUACUAUCGAUAGCACCAAGCACUUGGUGCUAUCAAGUUUUCUACUGUUAAAUUAACCCCUUUGAUUAUUUUACCCGUUAAAUUAUACUAUUCAACCAACUACCNUAGAAAUAAAAUUUCAUACAUUUCCGAUAUUGUUUUCUUAUCUAUCGAGUGGACACAAAAAUGAACGGCUGAAAAUGAAUAUUCUUUAAAAAAUGAUGAUAGGAGUCUUGUAAUCAAGAUCAAAAGUAUAGAUCUUGUUUUAAAUAGUUUAACGAAUUUUCUAACAAAAAUUCAAUUGAUUUGGAUAUUUUUAUGCCGUUAAACGAGAAAACGCCUCAUAUCGACCAUUAAAAUUACAAAUUUUGAAACACUUUGAUCAUUAGGCAAAUGAUGUCGAAAAGAUUUGAAAUUUGAUUUCUAAACACUUUAAGUGGUAUAGAUCAUGUUCAACGGUGUCGAUCGUCGAUUUGGAGGCUCUAUCAUCGAAAACAAAUGGGUGGCAACGGAGCCCGUUUGCUAUUGAUAGUAUUCU